GAUAAAAACAGUGAAUAUGUGUUCGGUAACAUUAUUUUCAAAAAUAAUUUUUACUAAAUAUUUAAGUCAUAUUUAUGAAUAAAAAGUAAUUGUUUAACUAAUACAUACACAACCAUUCCAUAAAUAGUUUAAACAAAAUAAUGAUAAAAAAUUACAUGAUAAUAAAAUUUGAGUAUCAUCAUUAAUUAAAAAAAUGGAUUUAUGAAAAGGAUGGUAACAGCUCAACACGUCUUUGAUUUUGAUUCCUUUCGCCUUCCUUCUGCGGUCUACCCCCAGUCCCCACAGAAAAUAUUUUUGCUCUUUCCCCCCAAAAAAAAUAUAUAUAUUAUUUAUGAUUUUUAAUAAACCAAUCUCCAAGCCAACGAAAUAGACACACGCAGCACGUUGUAUGCUAACAUCUCAAUCAAACAAGGCUUCCGAGAAUUAAAGUUUUGAUCGGUCUUCUUUUACCCCCCACUAAAAGCACGAGGUUAAAUAAAAAUAAGGCAAUGUUGUUGGAUCAGUCCCCUGUCGAAUCUCUCACUCCACUUACUUGUUUUAAACUUUAUUUAAUUUAACAACCACCAAAUAAAAAAAGGCAAUUGUAAAUUCGUGAUUCCGUUAAACCCAGAAGCAUCCACUGUGGAGUAGCAGCAGCACCAGUCGAGACAGAGCAGAGACGCAGCACCACCAGCCGAGACGGAGCAUAGACGCAUCAGUAGCAGCAUCACCAGUUAUUCCUCAAGAGAGACGCAACAGCAGCAGCAGCACUAGUUGAUCCUUAAAAGAGAAGCCGUAGCAGCACCACUACCACCAAUCGAGAGAAGCUGGGACACGGCAACAGUCGAUUCUGGUUGAAGAACCGUGAUGGAGAAGGAGACAGCUGUGACGAAUCGUGGUUAAAGAACUCUGAGAGAGAGAGAGAUGUGAAUUUCGAUCUGGAUAAGGAGAUUAGGCUUGGGUUUUGUUUUGCAAUUUCUUUUGUGAUAUAAUUUGUGAUUCAUCUGAGACACGUUCUCAGUUUUAUAACAAUAAAAAAGAAUAUGAAUUAUUUGUUUUAUAAUUCAUUUUUAGAUCCAGCCCACCGAACAAGAAUUACAUAUGUACUCUCAAAACAAAAAUGAAAACAGGGCCCUGAAAAUGAUACCGAACAGGCCAAAAUUCUGAUAGAACCCCUUCUUUCCCUAUAUAAUUGAAAUUACCAAAACAACCAAGACAAUUUAAGUGAUUUUUAAUUUUGAAUGUAAAUCCAAUUAAAUAAGUAAAUUCAAAUUUUCUUUUAAAAAACUUUUUACAUCCACAUCAUUUCAUAAUUUACAUUUACAUUUUAGUUUUUAAUAAAAAAAAUUUGAGAAAAUUAUAAGAGUUUAGAAUUAUAGAGAUAGAAAUAUAUUAUAGGGCAAAACUGCGUUGCAUUCGCGGGUUUGAUACCCUUUUCUUUUGUCUUUUUCAAGGUCAAUUACAAUAAAGUCAUGCUAUUAGUUAUAAAAACAAAAAAACUAAAAAUUUUUAAAUUUUCACACAUUAGUCCUGCACCUAAAGAUUUUCAAUUGUAUUAAUGCUUCUAGAAGCCAUGAUUUGUUUAGAAUUCAAGCACUUAUUCUCUUUAUACACACAAACACUAGUAAAUUAAAAGAAAUUUUUUUUGAAUUAUUUAAAUUAUUUUAAAUAAAAGAAAACUAAGGAAAUAUUUAAAUUAUUUUCAAAUAGAAUAAUUAUUUAGAAUUUUUUUACUGAAAGAUCUCAACCAUAUGGACGUGUGCUAAUAACUAUUUAAACUGUUGGGGUAGAGUAACAAAUAUUAAUUUAUUUAAGUGUGCAAUUAAAUUUAUUAUUUUAUUUAAGGACAAAAACUCAACCAAAAAUGCAAACUCAUUGUUCAAACAAACAAAAAUUAUUUUGCAAAUUCAUAACUAACACUUGAUUAUUAUUAGUAAAUUAACAUAUUUUUACUACAUAAUUAAAUAAUUGAUAAUAUGUUAAAUAAAUCUUAUGUUACCAAAAAAAAAGUAACUACAUAGAAUAUCAAAUUAAAUUUAUUUUCAUAUUUUGUACAUUACAUUUACUUGAGAUAGUAAAAUCUCUUGUGUUGGAAUAAAAAAGAUUAUGGGGUUUGAACCUUGGUCACAUGAGUGAGAGAAAAUUGGUUGCCGUUAUGUUAAAUUAAAAAAAUAAUUUUAUAUUUAUCAUUAAUUAUGGUUCGUAAAUAAUAAACAUAGUUUAACUAUAUAAUAAACUAGUUAAUUUUUUAAUUAAUAAGUAAAUUUAUUAAUUUAAAUAGAUAUUAAUACAUGUAAGAGUAAGUGAUUUAAUUGGAAAUCUAGUUCAAUAGUGUAAUAUAUAUAUAUAUAUAUAUAUCAUAAGCUGAGGGGAUUUUGUAAUGGAACUCAUCCAUUGUUUUACUUGGUCCUCUGAGGAGAUGGUUUUAUAUUGGGCUUCAUGUUCUUCAACCAUUUUAAUCCAGGACUUGAUAGACAUGGUAGAAGAAAGCAAUUUUUCUUUAGAAGGAGUUGGUUGAGGUUCUUUAGAAGUGGCUUGGGACUCAAUGUCUUUAAGAACAACUUUACCUUUAUCCUUCUUCUUUGGCGGUAUUAUCUGUUUUGAAGAAAUUAUCUGGUUAGAAAAUCAGGAACAGAAUUUUUAUCCCCUUUAAUGAAUUCAAUAUCGAAAUCAAAAACACUUAAAAUGGCUUGCCAUCUUGUAAAAAUUUAUUUUGAACAUCUUUUUUCAAAACAUGUUUUGGAGCUUUGCAAUCAAUUCUAAGUAAAAAUUUUUGAUUUAAUAAAUCACUUUGGAAUUUAGAUAUGCAUAAAACAAUAGAAAGAAUUUCUUUUUUGAUAGUAGAAUAAUUUUUCUGGCAAUCAUUCCAAUGUGCAGAAACAUAUUGUACUAUCUGUUCUUUAUCAUUUUCUUUUUGUUUUAAUAUACCUCCAUAUCCUAAAUCAGAUGCAUCAGUCUCAACGAUUUUAGGUAAUGCAUGAUUUGCAAGAUAUAAACAUGGAAUGCUUUUAACAGAAUUCUUUAUGAGCUUAACUACUUUGGUGUGCUCGUCAGUCCAAGCAACAUGAUUUUUCUUUAAUCUAUCAUGCAAAGGUUUGGACAACCUGUUAAUAUUAGGACAGAAAUCAAGAACAUAAUUUAGGCUUCCUAGAAACCUCUGUAAUUGAGUUUUAUCUAGGAUUUUAUCAGGAAAUUUAUCUGCAAAGACAAGGGAACGCUCAAUAGGAGUGAUGGUUCCUUUGGAAAUGUGAUGACCUAGGAACCUGAUUUUUGUUUGAAAUAAGGAAACUUUGGAACUAGAAAUGACUAAUCCAGCUUUCCUAGUGGCUAAGUAAAAAGUCUUUAAGUGUUUGAAAUGUUGGUCGAUGGUUUGAGAGAAAAUCAAAACAUCAUCUAUAUAGACAAUGCAAAACUCAGAAUAAGGGUUAUAAAUAUCAUUCAUAAUUCUUUGAAAUUCUGAUGGUGUAUUUUUCAAACUAAAAGGCAUAACAGUUCACUCGUACUGUCUAAAAGGAACAUUAAAAGCAGUUUUGUACCGGUCAUUUGGAUGGAUUUGAAUUUGCCAAAAGCCUGACUUCAUGUCAAAUUUUGAAAAUAUGAAAGCAGAAUGCAGUUUUUGAAGCAAAUCCUUUUUAUUAGGUAUUGGGUACCUAAUCCAUUUUAAUGCUUUAUUAAGGGGUUUAUAAUUAAUGACCAGUCUUGGUGUUCUUCUUUCAAUUUCAGAAUUUUUAUUUACAUAAAAAGCAGCACAAGACCAAGGAGAUCUGAAUUUCACAAUGAGUCCUUUAGACUCUAAAUCUUUGAUCUCAAUUUUACAAUGUUGUUCUAAAUCCAUGUUCAUUUGGAUAGGACGGGCUUUAGUGGGAAUUUGUUUUUCAUCAAAAGAAUUUUCAUAGGGUAAAUCUACCAAGUGUUGUUUUCUAUUCCAAAAAGCAGAUGGUAGAUCAGCACAAAUUUCUUUUUCAAUAAGAGCUUUGAAAUCAGAAAUUUUCUUUUGUAUGAAAUCAUUUUGUAAUUGGCUUUCGAUUCUUUGUAAACUUAAAUCCUUUUGUAAAAACACUAAAUCAUUUUGUCUUGAACGAAGAAGAUUAUUGAUUUGGUUCUGAUAAAUAGAACAAGCUUUAACAAUAUUCAAAUUCCUUGUUUUUGGCUUUUCAAUAAAUGGGAAAACAAAUUUUUCAUCUUUUGCUUUGAAAAAUAUACUAUCGUAAUUGACAGUAUAGGGAGUAAUGAGAUUUAUAAAAGGAGUUCCCAGAAUGACAGCAUGGUGUAUGUCAUUUGUAAGUACAAAAGAAGUUCUAAAUUCAAAACCAUUGUUAUGAAUUGAAGCUUCAACUUUAGAAUUAACUUUAAGUUUCGAAUUGUUGGCUGCAGAAAGCCUUUCUUUUGUUUUCUCAUGAAAUCUUUUGGGGACAAUGUCUUCUCUUAUGCAAUUCAAAUCGGCACCAGUAUCAAAAAGAGCAAUGGCGUCAAUUGCAAAAUCAUCAGAAAAAAUUAGGGUAAUUUUAAUUAAAUAUUUUCUCAUAGUGAUUUGCUUUAAAACAAAUAGAAAAUCAUUAGGUACAGACUCAAUGUUUUCUAGAUUUUAAGUCAGAUCUGCAUCCAAAGGCAGAUUAAGUUCUGCAUCAAUAUGGAGAACAACGCCACGUACUUCAAUAAUUCGCACGUUCGGUUAAUUUGGUCUUUAAUACUGAAUUCCACCAAUGAUGAAACCAGUUUGGGAGGCUUUGAACGGUUAUUUUUGAAUUGAAAAAAAAUAACCAAGAGUGAGAUUUUUUGGGGUUUUGGAUAAAAAAUGUGUUAUACCAGGCUUGUUGGUAAUCCCAGUAGGAAAAUGUCCGACAAUGUGGUAAACAUGUUUGAAAAUUUAGAGGGAAAGUUUUAAAAUUGUGGAGUAAGUCACCCCACUGGUUUGGGCUCAAGACUUUUAAGAUAGUAGCCGUGGAAUAGGCUGGCUCUGAAUGGGUUUCACUAAGAAAGAAAUGUUUGAAUUUAACUGACUCAGUAACUUCUAAAAUGCUUUGAUAGUAAGACUGGAGUUUUGUUAAAUCCCAUGGUUUGAAAAACCAGCCUUUAGGAAUUUUUUUUGAUAUAUAUAUAUAUAUAUAUAUUAUGGACUUUUAUGUCAUAAUUAUAAAACUUUUGAUUUUUCGUAUUUUACAUGAACAAGAGGGGCCUUUAAUGUUAAUAUCCUAGAAUCAAAUCUAAGCCAUUAUGCAAGUCUUGCGUUGUAUCCAACGGUGAGUUUGAAAAAGACAAAAAAUGGGGCACCAAACCCCAGAGGCAACGUAGCUGGACCCUAUAUUAUAAGAAGAAAAUAAUUAGAGAAAACGGUAGGUUUCUAAAAAUGGGCUCGUUUGGUAUUGUUUUUGAAUUUAUAUUUUUUGAAAAUAAAAAUGAGAAUGAAAAUAGUAUUUUAUAGGUGUUGUAUUUUGAAUUUAAGUAUGCGUCUGGUAUAAUUUUUUAUAUCCUAUAUUUUAAAAUUGAAAACAAUAAUAUGCAUUUGGUAGACACAAUUGAGAGGAUAAAAACAGUGAAUAUGUGUUCGGCAACAUCAUUUUCAAAAUUUUUUUUACUAAAUAUUUAAGUCAUAUUUAUGAAUAAAAAGUAAUUAUUUAACUAAUACAUACACAACCAUUCCAUAAAUAGUUUAAACAAAAUAAUGAUAAAAAAUUACAUGAUAAUAAAAUUUGAGUAUCAUCAUUAAUUAAAAAAAUGGAUUUAUGAAAGGAUGGUAACAGCUCAACACGUCUUUGAUUUUGAUUCCUUUCGCCUUCCUUCUCCGGUCUCCCCCCAGUCCCCACAGAAAAUACUUUUGCUCUUUCCCCCCAAAAAAAAUGUAUAUAUUAUUUAUGAUUUUUAAUAAACCAAUCUCCAAGCCAACGAAAUAGACACACGCAGCACGUUGUAUGCUAACAUCUCAAUCAAACGAAAUAGACACACACUAGUUGAUCCUUAAAAGAGAAGCCGUAGCAGCACCACUACCACCAAUCGAGAGAAGCUGGGACACGGCAACAGUCGAUUCUGGUUGAAGAACCGUGAUGGAGAAGGAGACAGCUGUGACGAAUCGUGGUUAAAGAACUCUGAGAGAGAGAGAGAUGUGAAUUUCGAUCGGGAUAAUGAGAUUAGGCUUGGGUUUUGUUUUGCAAUUUCUUUUGUGAUAUAAUUUGUGAUUCAUCUGAGAACGUGUUUAACACGUUCUCAGUUUUAUAACAAUAAAAAAGAAUAUGAAUUAUUUGUUUUGUAAUUUAUUUUGGAACCAGCCCACCGAACAAGAAUUACAUAUGUACUCUCAAAACGAAAAUGAAAACAGGGCCCUGAAAAUGAUACCGAACAGGCCAAAAUUCUGAUAGAACCCCUUCUUUCCCUAUAUAAUUGAAAUUACCAAAACAACUAAGACAAUUUAAGUGAUUUUUAAUUUUGAAUGUAAAUCCAAUUAAAUAAGUAAAUUCAAAUUUUCUUUUAAAAAACUAUUUACAUCCACGUCAUUUCAUAAUUUACAUUUACAUUUUAGUUUUUAAUAAAAAAAAUUUGAGAAAAUUAUAAGAGUUUAGAAUUAUAGAGAUUAUAAGAAGAAAAUAAUUAGAUUUUAAGACUUGCAUGUGUUUUAUAACACAGAAAGUUAAAAAAAAAAAAAAAACUUUUAGAGUGAAAUUUUAUGGGAUCAUGGUUUAAUUUAACAGUAUAUGAAUUUGUAUUUUAUAAAUUAAAAUAGGACAUUUUAGAAAAUAAAAUUUAGAAAGGGUGCUAUAAAGAUUUUAGAGCGGAGUCAAAAACUCUCGUACUCUUGAAAAACAAAGUGGAGGGGAGCUUGAAUGCCAAGAAGAAAAUACAAGUGAAUGUAAAAAAUAGAAAAUAAUGAUUUAAAAAUCGACAACAGUACUGCAACUACAAAGCAUAAAUAAUUAACAUCUAUUUCACGGAAAAAAGAGAAUAACAAUCAAAGUUAAUAAAACAGAGAAUAGAACAAAGCAAAUAGAAAAAUAUGUCAAAGUCAAUAAAACAGAAAAUAUUUAUUGACUACAUAUACACGAAAACUCAUUCAGCAAAUCAUUUAUUACAAAUCAGAAACUCCAACAACAUGCAUAAAAUACAUGAUUUAUUUGGUCUAAUCUAUUCAAACAAGGUGAAGAAUAUUAGGGAUGGCAAUGGGGAGGGGACCAAUCUCCCCGUACCCAUCUCCAAUAUUUUACGUAUGUCCCCGUUCCCUCCCCGUCCCCGUCAAAAUGAUUUAAGAGAAUCAUCAUCCCCUUCCCGAAUAAUAACAGUGGAUCCCCGAGGAUCCCCGAUCCUCGAAUAACUAAUACAUUUUUUUUGUUUUCGAUUUUGAGUUAAUCAUAUUAAAAUAAAAAAUUCAAAUAAAAGUAAAGUUCGAAAUACAUCUUACAUUAAUAUCCAUUACAAAAGUCAUAUACAUUAAAUUAGUAAGUAACGCAGCAUGCAAGUGAUACAAACUAUCAUGAACAAAUUAAUAACCUAAUACAAAAUUGUUACAAAUAAAAUCAAAUUUAGAUUCAAAAUUAACUUUUCAAUGGUGGCGUGGGCACUUUACAAAUGUGGACUAUUCCCUUUACAACACAAUAGUUAAGUCAAAGCAAAUCAAAAGCAAAUAUUAGAUUAUAUUAGAUAUUAAAAUUUUGAUUUGUUGUGGGCAAUUAUAACAUCUAAAAAUAAAUAAAAAAUAGAUUUAAGAUAAAUAAAAAAUAGAUUUAAGUUUAAAAUAUUUAAUGAAUAUUAAAAUUAAAACAAAAUUUUUGGGCUAAUAGAAUCUGUCCGGUCUUUUUAAUGUCCUAAAUAAAAAUUUAGGACUUUAAUUAGUUAAUUAGGCUUAAAAGUUUAAUAACAUUAAUAUUUUGAUAUUUUUUAUUUUUACCAAUACUUAUAAUUUUAUAAUUCAAAUUUUAUUAUUUAUUUACUAGUAAUUUUAAAAAAUAAAAAUUAAAUUAAAAAUUAAAAUGGGGAAAUGGGUAGGGGAUGGGGAUUCCACCUCAUCCCCGUCCCCUCCCCGAAUAAGAAAUUGGGUAAAAAAAUUUCUCCGUCCCUUCCCUGAAUAAGAUAUUGGGUAUGAAAUUAUCCACAUACCCUCCCCGAAUGGGGAAAAUCUCCGAGGAUACCCGUCCCCGUGGGGAUUUUUGCCAUCCCUAAAGAAUAUUUAUCAUUCGAUCCUAUAUGGCACGCACGCUGUAUCCAUAGCUGGCAUGCGAAAACUUAAAAAAUUAAUAGAAAAGAGAAAUUAGAUUUCUAAAUUAUGAAAAUUUUAUAGGAAAGGUCUAAAUGAAUAAAAUUAGGAUUUUGAGUCUUUUUUAUACUAACUGUAUUAUUGUGAAUAUACUAAAAUUGAAAAUUCUGAAAUAUUAUUUAAUAAUCAAAUUCUCCUAAUCUAAAUAAGGAAACCAAAAGAAAUGGUACCCAAUCCGAUAUCUAAGAAAAAAAAAAAUCCUAAAAAGAUAAAAUCCUAAUAGUAACAAGAAAAAAAAAAAAAAAAAUAGCUUAAACUUGGAGAAUAACCAGGAAAAGAAACAAAAUUUUCUACUCAACCAACAGGAUGGCAUAAGUGAUUUUAAUUUUAUUCAUCUCAUUGGAGGUUUCAAAACGGAAUAUCACCUAUAACACAAACUAUAACUUUCAGAAGAUACCCUACUAAUCUUAUGCAACCAUCCUACAUCAAUAGCUUGUCUAAUUAAUUAAUCUCUAUUUUUCUUUCUUGAAGAAAGUGGGGGGAAGCUUUGUUCAUUCCUGAAGAAAUUACCAGCGUCAACCAUAGUCUUCACAUGAACCAAUCUGUUAAAAUUUUUAUUGAAAUAUUUAAGACCCCAAAUGCUAGCUUGUUUGUAGCUUGUGUAGCCUUUGUUAUUCGUUCCAAUGUCAAGAUCCCGGCAAUUCACAUAUGCAGCUCUCGGAUUUUUUGAAACAUAGGGAGCCAUGUAACUGUAAAGUCUUCUGAUCCAAUUAAUGUGCCUUUGAGAUGCUUCACUACCUUCUUCUUCCCAGCGCACCAUGUGCUGAAUUUUGUAUAUGGUGCCUGCUCUAUACGGGAAUGGAGUUUCGAAAUCUGAAAUCUCAUUCAUUAUUCCGCCAUAGGGAGUGAAGCUUAUUUCAGCAUCCUCCGCUUCUUUUUCAUAAAACUUUUCGUAUAUCCCCAGGAAUGCAAUUUCAGGAAUAGGUUCCUUCACGAUAUCAGAUUUGGCUUUGAAAAAUCUUACGUUGGGUUGAGUUCUAUUAAGCAAAACAUCCAAAGAUCGUCCUCGGAACCCCGCAAAGUGCAUGACUGAUUCAAUCCAGCUCAUUUCAAUGCAGUCUUGUUUCACCAAGCCAAGCUCAGGGAAGCUUUGCUGCAUUAGUGGAAGGAGGGUAUCAGCUCCUCCGAGAAACAAGGAUUCAAAUGAUGCUCGUAUUGUUUUCUUCCCUCGUCUGCUUGAAGUCGCACUGCUUAAGAACACUCUGAUAUACAAAUCUUCAUGGAGUUUAUCUGCAACGUACUGCCAUCUGUCAACGAUCUUGGUAGCAUUUUGUUCCAAGGUUCUAUUGACUAUGAAUGCAGUCACAGUUUCGGGAACACUAACUAGCUUUAUUUUCCAAGCAACGAUCACACCAAAGCUAGCUCCUCCACCUCCCCGGAUGGCCCAAAAUAGAUCUUCUCCCAUCGAUUUUCUAUCGAGUAACCUUCCAUUAACGACAAUCAAGUGUGCAUCAACAACAUUAUCAGCAGCAAGGCCAUACUUGCGCAUCAAGAAACCAUAGCCUCCGCCACUAAAAUGUCCACCAACGCCAACAGUAGGGCAAACUCCUGCCGGAAAAGCAAGAGUUUUGCUUUUCUCAGCGAUUGCAUGGUAAAGUUUGCCAAUUGUUGCUCCGGCUUGAACCCAUGCAGUUUUAGCCUCUGCAUCAACAGUGAUUGAGCUAAGAUUUAUCAAAUCAAUGACGACAAAUGGGACAUGAUGAUUAGAAACAUAAGAAGAACCCUCCUAGUCAUGACCUCCACUUCGAACCCUAACUUGCAUGCCAUAUUUUUGGGAACAUUUAACGGCUGCUUGAACAUGCGAUUCUUUCAAUGGAGUGACAGUGACUUGAGGUUUUGGGGUGGUGGGUGUUGAAAAAUCCAAUAUCGAUGAAAAUGAGGAGUUAUUUCGGGUGUAUAUCACUUUAGAAAUGGAGGAGAAGUUAUCAGAGUGCAUAGAUAGGCAAUGAAGGAAUAAGUUCUCAUCGGGCACUGAAGAAGUUGCAUGAAUGUUGCCAAAAGUAACCCAUCAAUGAUAUGAUAAAAGAAGAACAAAAACAAAUUGGAUGAUAGAAGAGCAAGGAGACUUCAUUUCGGCUGAUGUUUUGGUGCAUAAGAGUGCGUAAGGCUGCCUUAUUUAUGGAACCCCAAAAGCUUAUUUCGUAACAAGCACUCUAAAUUUCUUUGAAUGGAAGUUAACAAACGUCAAUGCGACGGCAAAGCGCAUUAAAUAGAAAGAAACAGGAAAGUGGCUUAUUUUUGUCAGCUAAAAUAUCUCUCUUAAUUUUCCAUUUUCUCUGCACCCCGGUCAGAAGCAAAGCCAGGAUUUUAUUUUAGGGUCGGCUAUUUUUUUUCCCCCCCGAACCGGUUAGAAUCUUCAUACGGCAUAUCACUAUAUGAAAUUCACUAGAAAUUAAAUUGAUCGAUUGCAAGCAUAUCAGUUUGAGCCCCAACCCAUACGCUUCUCGAGAUGGUAAUAGUAGCAAGAAGGGUAAAACGGCAGUUUGACUUUGGUUACAGAUUUUAUUUAUUUUUUAUUUAACGAUUUUAGGAUUAAAAUUAGUUAGUUGAAGAUUUAAUUUUUGCUUAAAAAAUGUUAUAAAAACGUUAAAUUGUAUGCUUAAUUAUCAGUUAUCAUUAUAAAUCCACAAACUAAACCAAAACCACCUAACAAUAAGCUCAACUUGAAAUUUCGAGUGCUAAAUUUCAAUGGCUAAAUGGUCUUUACUUGAUCUAAUAACAAUCUAAUCUUAUACGUUUAAUUUGAAACAUAGCAAUAUGAUGAUGAUGAUCUUCACUUCACUUACAAUUAACAAAUAUCUUGUACAUGAUUAAAUAAAAAAUGAAUUUCUCAUUUCUCAGUCAAUAAAGAGAAAAAUAUAUAUAACAAAUUAACAGUAGAAUAUUGACGUUACAACAAGUUAGUUAACUAUCACUUUUGGGUUCGAAAAUUACGAAAUGCCUUAGACCAAGAAAAAUGAUGAAAAUUCAAAGAAUGAGUGAUAAUGUGUUGAUUUCUUGCCAUGUGAAGGAGAGAACGAAAAUUGAGGAAGAAGCCAAGAAGGGAUUUGGAAAAUGAAGUGACCGUCAGUUUUUUAAAUUUAUAUGGUAGGAAACUUGUAAAUUAUUAGAAUGACAUAAUGGCAUUUAUAUAAAUAAAUUGAAUUUUUUUUCCAAAAUUUUGACGGACCGUAGCCCGUCCUAACCCACGCGUGGGACGGUAGCCUCUGACCCCACGGGGACGCUCCAAGUCCGUAAAUUGGCACGACUUUGAAUUUUCUUCUCCGUGAGUUUAGGAAAAAUCAAACAUUUAAUCAGCCCUUCUAGUUUUAAUACGACUAAUUUCCCAAAUCAAACGCAACUGAUCCAACAACAGCAUGAACAGCUGCUCCCUCGGUCGCAGGGAAAAGAACGAGUGAUAAUUAUCCAUCGCCCUUCUAGUUUUUAUUAACCCAACAAAACCUUUUGAUUUUGAUACGUGUAGUUACGAAAAUUAUUAAAUUUACUUAGUUAUCCUUAAUAUAAAGAUAUAGAGGUAAAGUAUGCACUUUAUUAAUAACCUAUUAAUGUAGUAUGUCAAAUCUAAUAUAUCAAAAAAACUAGUACAUGUAUCUGUAUAUUAUUGUUAAAAAUAUGCCAAGUUAUCUUAAAAAUCUGUAAAUGUUUGCAUUAUCUUUGAUAAUUUUCUCUCAUUGUUUAAUUGUACCAUGGGAGGCAAGUUCUUUUAAUCUAACAUAAUAUAUAUAUAUAUAUAGGACUUCUUAUAAAAAGAUUCUCUAAAAUCUCUGGAAGGUUUUUGGUAUUUAUGACUUCUGGACUUGUAAUAUUUUUUAUAAGGUUUUGGGGAACACUUACCAUUACAGUCUUUAACACAGAUACUUUACCCGGUCGUUAUUGGUAUCAGAGCCAAGGGAAAGUAGGUGUAAUAUUUAGUAAAGUAUCUGUGUUGUUUAUUUCUUUUAUUAAAAAUUAGUGUGUUUGCUGAAUUCUUUACUGGUAGUAAGUCCCGUCUCAGGAUAAGGAUUUCCGCUUAGAGCAGUAAAACCAUACCUGUAGGCAUUCAUAUAGGUUUUAAUUUAAGUUUUUAAAUUGCAUGGAUUCUCUACUGCAUAGAACAUCAUCUUUCUCUAGCUCUUCUUCCGAGAAGACUAGUGUUUCAAAGAACGUGGUGAAUUCAGAAGAAUUCAUUAUUGAAGAUUUUAAUAAAGCAAUUGACAAUUGGGAUUUACCAAAGGUUUCUAAAGAUAAGAUUUAUAAAAUGAAAAAACUUGAUUUUUUAAAGACUAAUUGUGUUAUAAAGACAGAAGAAAGAGAUAUCACACUCUCAAAGCCAUUUGAGACAAUUCAUUUGUUUUCUGAGCACUCUUUAAAGAAAUUAAAAGAGAAAAAUUUUAAUUAUGUUCAUAUUGGCUUAAUCCAAAUCGGCAUAAAACCUUUAACUAAAGAAGGAUUAAAUACUUCCAUUCUUGCUGUCCUCAGAGAUGGGAGGUUCAUCUCCUUUGAUGAUUCUUUACUCAGUAGUAUUGAAUCUAGUCUCUGUAAAGGACCCAUUUCUUUUGAUUGUUAUCCUAAUAUAACGGUUUCUUUAAAAGACAAGAAUAUUUUGAAAAGCAUGAUUUUACAGAUCAAAACACAUAACUAUCACAUGUUAGAAGGAUCUGUUCCAGUUGCAUUAAUUUUCAAAAUAUCUUAUAAAGCCAUGAUUUCAGCGUUCAAUACGCAGCAUAAAUUCCAGUCAAAAAGAGAUGAAACUCUUCUCUUGCAGACUGAUAUGUCUAAAGCCAACACUGUUAUUCCAAAACCAAUACAAUGGAAAGAUAUCACUCUUCCAGACGAAUGGAUCCUUGAAGGGGCCACUCAACCAGUGAUCCCAAGACAACUUGAGCCAAAUACAGAGUUACAAAAUAUGACUCAGUAUUCAGAUGGUAAAGUCAAACUAUCUUUUAGGAGAUCUACAUCCUCUAGAUUCUCCGAUAAAGAUUCAAGUUCCAGUAUUCCUCAUUUACAAAAGAAAUUUUCAAAAGUUCCCUCUGUUAUAAAUCUUCCUUUUCAACCAACAAAUAGUCAACCUAAGUUAUCCACCUCGGACAUACCUAGCUCUUUCAUACAUUCUGUUGACUAUGCAACUAGUGUCCCACAUCCUAUCUACACUAGUCGCCAAAGCCAGGAAGAGAAGGAACCUUCUCCUCCAACUUCUCCUACGUUUUCUGCUGUUACUGAAAAUAUAAUAAAUGUCAUUGAAAAAGAUUUUGAAUCAGAUAAAACUCUUCUUUAUAAUGAUUUUUAUUUUGAAUCUAAUAAAGAGAAAAGACUUUGGUUUUUUAAACAUUUCUUAAACCAGAGAAAAGAAAUUCAACAAAAUUAUUAUGAAUUUGUAAAUUUGCAUAAAGUUCAUAUAUUGUUUUUUGAUUGGUUUGAGAUGUAUGCUUCAGAUAACAACAUUAAUUAUCCUUUUAAAGAAUCAAAUCCCAUUACGGUCAAAAAGAAAAUUGUUGAAUUGAACCUUUCUGGUAGUGGAAGAACCAUUGAAUCUGAGCAUCCACCUCUUAGGAGUCUAACCAUUGAACAUGGUGAACCUCCUGUUGAGAUUAAAGCCUCACCCUAUAAGAUCCAUAAAGACCCAGACACGGAUUUAGAUAGCAUCAUUCAACAGAAUAAUUUAUGUAAUGCUAAUCUAAAUACAAAAGUCAACCGUUAUUGUCCCAUCUUCUACUCCCUCAAAAUCUGAUUCCUUGAAAAAGCUUAAGGAACCUAUUUUCAAACCAUACCAGGUUUCGAAACAUAACCAAAAGCUUGUUCAAGAUUCUAAAUCAGAUUUCGCUAAUGCCAUUAAAGAAUAACUUGAUCGAAUAGAAGCAUCUCUUCUGCUUCUACUUCUAAAGUCCAAAUUGCUCCUGAUAGUGCUCAAUCUAGCAAGAUUGGUGUAUUAGAACAAGAUCAGUCUUCUAUAGUCUCAUAUGAUAUAGAAGCUUUCAAAGAUGAGUCUAUCCCUAAAGCUAAUAAAAUCCAUUGGGAACUUGCUCUCCCAACUGUAAGAACUCCUUCAGACCUUGCCAUCGAUGAUAGACCAAGUGCAUUAAACCAAUCUCGUUUUAAUGCAUCCUCUGUCUAUGAAUGAAACAUUGAUGGUAUGUCUGAGUAUAAUAUUUUAGGAUUAUUACAACAGAUGACCAUGGCAGCCAAUGCCUAUAAAACUCAACAAGGAACUUCUAACAAAGCCAUAUAUUGAAUAUCUUUUGAUAAUGUUAUUUUUAAAAUAAAAAAUAUUUUAGAACGACAAAGAAAGUAAAUUGUGUUCAUUGCAAAGAUCAAAUAAAGUGUACAUCUAGUAGCAUGCAUGCUUCAAAAGUCGUUUUGCUAUCAUAGGGAAAAAGAAAAAGCUUUUUGAGAAUAAUCCACUUCUCAAACAUGUAUUAGGAGAAAUUUUAUAAUAUAUUAGAGAUACUACGUAAGUUAAUAUAAUUAGUGAAAGAUGCUAAUGCAUUUGAAAAUGGUACCAAAUAAAAAUGCUAAAAUUAUUCAAAGGUCAAGACCAGCAAAAUUAUGACGAAGAAACAUUUAUUUUUGAGGUUCUAUUGCAUUAUAUCCUAAUAACCUACUGCCAAAGCAAAUCACAACUGACAAAUGGACAAAACUUAAAACUCUCUAUGAUCCUUCUCUCUUCUUGCAUCAAGAUGGACUAAUUGGAAUACUCUGUUCAUAUGUGAAGAAAUUAUCAGGAUCCACCGAUGUCUUCACACGCACCAACCUGUCAAAAUUAUUCUUGAAGUACUUAAUCCCAUAAAUCUUUCCUUCUUCAUAAGUACCAUUAGUAUUGCUACCGAUGUCGAUAUCGCGAUAAUUGAGAAAUGCUUCUCUGGGAUUCUUGGAAACAUAAGGAGUCAUAGCUUCAUAAAAAGUUCUUGUCAAAUUUAGAUAGCGGUUGGUGACUUCAAUUCCUGGUUGAUUCCAGUUCGCAGAAUACUGAAUCUUGAAUAUGUUUCCAGCUCUGUGCGGAAAUGGCGUUUCUGUUGCAGGAAUCUCACUCAUUAUUCCGCCGUAAGGAUUCCAUUGCAUUCCCACUUCUCCGAGCUCAAUCAUCAACUUCCAUAUUGAUUCCAGGCCUGUCUUCGGAAUCGGUUCCUGAACAUAAUCCGAUUUUCGUUUCAAAGAGACUUGCGAUUUUGGAAUCCUGUUAAGUAAAACUUCCAACGGAGUUCCAAUUGGUUGAUCAAACCAAAAUAGAACAGAUUCAACCCAUCUCAUUUCAAAGCAAUCCUUUUUCUGUAUCCCCAAUUCAGGGAAGCUCUGUUUCAUCAACGAAAGAAGCUUCUCUGUUUGUCCUAAAAACAUGGCAACAAAUGAAACUUUUACAGUCUUUUCACCUUCUUUACUUCCAUUUACAGCAUUAAUAAACAAUCUUAUGAAGAGAUCUUGGUCCAAUUUGUCGGCCGCAACUUGUUGCCAUUUUGCAACCAAGUCAGUAGCGCCUUGUUCCAGGGUUUUCACCACUCGAAACACAGUCACAGUUUCAGGAACCUGAACCAAUUUAAUCUUCCAGGAAAGAAUUACACAGAAGCUCGCUGCACCACCUCCUCUAAUAGCCCAAAAAAGAUCUUCUCCCAUUGAUUUUCUAUCGAGAAUCCUACCCUGAACAUCAACAAUUUGCGCAUCAACGAUAUUGUCCACUGACAGCCCAAAUUUUCUCAUCAUGUUGCCAUAUCCGCCUCCGGAAAAAUGCCCACCAACACCAAGAGUUGGGCACACUCCAGCAGGGAACCCAUGGAUUUUACUUGCCUCCGCAAUUUUGUAAUAAACUUCUCCAACCGUUGCGCCGGCUUGAACCCAGGCAGUUUCAUCUGUUAAGCUGAUGUUAAUAGACCGAAGAUUGAAUAUGUCAAGGAUGACAAAAGGAACAUUGGAUACAUACGAGAGGCCGUCGUAAUCGUGGCCUCCACUCCGGAUUCUGAUCUGCAAGCCAAACUUUUUUGAGCAAAUGACAGUUGCCUGGACAUGGGAUUCAUGCUUGGCAGCCACAAUAACGAGUGGCUUCAGUGUUGUUGGUGUAGCAAAUCUGAGGUUUCUUACAUAUGACUGUAAAACGGACGAGAACGAAGCGUUUUCGGAGAUUGCAAUAGAGGAUUGAGAUUGCAUGGAAAGGCAUUGGAGAAAGUUUUCUUCAACAGAAGCUGAAUUUGCAGCAGAAAAUGUGAAGAAAAUGAUUGAGAAAAGAGAGAAUAUAAUUAUACAUUUUGAAAACUCCAUUUUUUUGCGAAUUGUUUUGAUCCGUCAACGCUUCACACACACAAAUAUAUGAUUUAGUGAUAAUGGUGUUAAAUGUUUUGAUUAUAGAUUUCUUUUAUUAUUAUUAUUAUAGAUUCCUUAAAUAACAACAGAUCGGUGUUGGAAAAUGCAUUUAUUUUCUUGCCCCUAGUCUUGAUUCUGUUGGAGAUUGUCCAAUGAAUUUCCAAAAUGGAUGUUCAUUUCUAAGGAUGGCUCGAUUGGGUUUCUUGCACUAAAAUUAAUUGCGUUGUCCUCUUUGGGCUGUACUAGAUCGAUCUCUUCGUUUUCUUUUCUUUUUUUUGAGUGGGACUAUUGGCACCCCUUUAAAUAUCUCUCAACACCUCUUUUUUUUAAUAACCCCAUUAAAAUAUUUAAAAAUAGGGUGGGGCUAUUUGAACCCACCAAUUUACUCAAUAAACCUAUUUACUAAAUAAACUCAUUUUUAAAUUUUUAAAUUUUAAAUUUUACUCAGUAAACCUACUAAAAUACCUAAUAUUGCCCUUUCUAAACCCAACUUUUAUAAUAAUAGUGAUUUUACUCAUUAAACCCAUAAUAUUCAUUUAUAAACCUAUUAGAUUGAAAAUUGAUUAUUAAUUAGAAAUUUAAUAAUCAAUUUUGAGUGAAUAACCCUCGUUCAAGGACAAAUGAAUCAAAACAUUCUAAAUGGAGAAAAUAGUUGUCAUCAUGAAAUUAUUUUUUUGAGUUAUAUUAUAGUGGUGAGAAAAAUCUUGUAUGAUGGUAUGAAAAUCUAAUAUGAGGAAUUUGAGAAAAAAUAAUUUUUUCAGAAUUUGGGAAAAAAACAAUAAUUGAUUAUUAAUUGAAAAUUUAAUCAUCAAUAUUAAUUAAACAAUUUUGAGUGAGGGGUCAUUCCCAAACGAAUCAUAACAAUUAAACAAUUAAUCCUCCAUAAAAUCAAUAUCCAUCAAAUCAAUAACAAUUAAUUUUGUUACUCUGAAUCAACUCACAUGUGCCUAUUUAACAAUAUAUAUGGCUUGAGAGAAGAAUCCCACCUCUUGAUUGAUUAGGGUUUAAUGAAAAUUUGAUUAGGGUUCUAUAAAACUAUGUUGAAUAUAAAGAUGGGUUUAAAGAGUAAAAAUUCUGUUUUUUUUUUAAAUUAUAUUCUAGUGUCCAUAACUGUAAUUUAAUUUAGGGGUAUUUUAAUGAUAAAAAAUUAUUUUUAAAAGUGGGUUUAUUGAGUAAAUUAGUGGGUUCAAAUAGCCCCACCCUUAAAAAUAUUAGAACAUUCUUUUAACAUCUUUUUUAUGACAAAAAUACCCUUAAUUUAAAUUAUUAAUAUAAACUCCAUUUUUUAAUUUUUGAUUUGUGAAUUUUGAGAUAACUAAUCAUCUAUUAAAAAAAGAAAGAAAGAGGAAAAAAAAAAAGGAACUUGCUCCACGAAACUACUACUUUUACGUGGCAAAUCACUGAAAUGUCAGCACGAUCUUGCAUACAGCUUUCAGCAUCAACUUGUUUUCCACCGGCAAUCUCUUGCUCUUGCUCCUUCUCCUUCUUUGCGUUUGCGAUCGUGCCUGACAUUCUCGCUCUCUAUACUGGUAACAACUACUUGAUAUAGAAGAUCAAAAUCUUCAUAUUAAUUUGUUUUGAAUUUGAAAGCAUUUUUUUAAAGUUAAAAUAACUUUAGAAACAUAAUCAUGCAUUACAAACAAACAUGAAAUAUCAAAUUCAUCUGUUUAAUUACAAAUACUUCCCAGCAAUUAAGAAAGGUAAUAUAAACAAUAACAUGAUGCUGUUAGAUAUUUAAAAUUUUCAGUAAUUAUAUUUAUUUAUAUAUGGUCAUUUUGCAUUAAAAGUCAGGACUACAGUAGUACGCCAUACCUGAUCGAAACAAGACGGUAUCCUAAAUGGCAGGCACUUUACUCCAAUGCAUGACAAUGCAUUGUAAUUGAUGAUGACACCUGGCAAACCCUUGGCCACCAUGCAUGUAAUUCUAAGGCCAAAUGUUAAUUUGGUUUACUGAAGAAUAUGUUGAGCACAAGUUUUGAAUCUUAAUUUCCCUCACGAGGUCUCAAGGUUUCUUCUCUGAAGCUUGUUAUGAUGAGUUGCUGUUGUCGCCAAUAAUUCCUCAUCUGUUAAUUUGGUUUAUUUUUUUAUUAUCAUCCUCAUCUGUUUGCAUGAUUAUUUUCUCCUAAAUUUGAAACUCUUAGAUUAAGGUUUAGGAAAGAAAGAGAGUUUAUAUUAUAUGUUGUAUAAAUGAAAAAAUGCAGUAUAAAGAAUUUUGAAGGGGAAUAAAUUAUUUAAUUUUGAGUGGGGGUUUAAUUAGAAAUUAUCCUAUUAUGUAAUUUUAAUAAAGGUUAAAAUUGUAAAAUAAUUAAAGGGGUGUUAAGAGGUACUUAGAGUGGUGCCAAUAGUCCCACUCCUUUUUUUUUCCUCAUCACUUUCUCACAUACAUGAUGGACUCACAAGGCCCACCCUGAGAAAGUGCUUUCAAAUGAGUCCCUAAACCCUAAACCCUAAUCCAUUCACAGAAAAAGUACUUUCUUGUAAGGUGUCCAUCAACAACAAGCGCAUUCUCAGCGCUUUUGACAAAUUAAUUUCAACUAUGCCCUCCGAAAGUGCAUUACAAAGUGCUUUCUGAGUGCUUUGACAGUUAAAAUUAACUUUUCAUUUUAAAAAAUUUUAGAAUACAUAAGAAGUAUUAUAUUAGUCAUAUAACAAUUAAAUAAAUUAUGACAUAUAUAUAUAUAUAUAUAUAUAUAUAUUUAUUUUAAAAAAUUAUCAUAUAAGUAUUAAUUAUAUUAAAUUUAAUUAUAUAUGUCAUACAUAAAUUAGUAAAUUGUAUUACUUCUGAUAUUCUAAAAUUUCUUAUUGAGAGAAAUUCUAAGAUACAUAAUGCCGAAUGACAUAAUUAUUUAUUUUUCUUUUAACGACUACUUCUCAUGAUACUAUAACAAAUGGCAUCAUUGGAAAUUAAGGACAAAUGACAAACAACUACCUAUUCUUUCUCAAAAGGGAAAUUAUCAUUACACCACCUUUAUUUUGCCUUAUGUUCAUCCAACCACUACAAAAUUCUAACAUGUACUUUGCACCAUCUUUUUUUUUUUUUUCACAUUUGUAUCAACUAGCCACUUUUGCAUUAACACUAUUAAAUAAUUUUAAUAAAAUGACAAAUUUAUCCCCAAAUAAAUCAAAAGACCAUUUUAUUUUAUUAAAAUUUUAAAAAAUAAAAAAUAAUGAUAAAAAUAUCCCUAAAUUUAAUAAAAAUAAAUCCCUAAAUUAUAAUUUUUAUUUUUAAUAAAAAGUAUUUUAAUAUAAAUUAUAAUUAUAAAAAUAAUUGCAAAAUUUUGGGAUUUAACAAAAAUCCCCUAAAUUAUUAAAAUUUUAGGAUUUAUUCUUUUAAGAAAUAAAUUCAGUUAUUUUAAUAAAAUUUUACAAAAUUAUAAUUUUUUUGUAAAAUCUAAAUUUAGUAAAAAUCAGUUGAGCACCUCUAUUUGGGAUUUAUUUUUAUUAAAUUUAGGGAUAUUUUUAUCAUUAUUUUUUUAUUUUUUUAAGUUUUUAUAAAAUAAAAUGUUCUUUUAAUUUAUUUGGGGGUAAAAUUAUCAUUUUAUUAAAAUUAUUUAAUAGUAUUAAUGGAAAAGUAGCUAGUUGAUACAAAUGUGAAAAAAAAAAAAGUGAUGCAAAGUACAUGCUAGAAUUUUGUAGUGGUUGGAUGAAUAUAAGGUAAAAUAAAGGUGGUGCAAUGAUAAUUUCCCUUCUCAAAAUAGCAGUUUAAUCCUUAUAAGUUAAAAAAUAUCAAUGAAGAGCCGUGUGAUUUUUUUUCUUCUUCUUUGUUUCUUUUUUCCCACUUUUCCCAGCAUUAAAAAUUCGGUCAGAAACAUAAAUAAAUUUUCAUCGUAAUAAUUUUUUUAACCAACUUCCUGUGGAAUGAAUCUGCCGUCCGAACUAGUGGAGGUUGAGAUUUUAGAAUGCAUAAUGGGAAAAGGAUCGUGCAGUGAGUGAUACGCAAAGCCCAGAAAGCUGUAGAUUUGACUUUGUAGAACAAAUCCAAUUAACUAGAUUCAUUUAUAGAUAAUCUAGAUGCCUCCACAAUAAGGAUAUAUAAUGCUCAUAAUAAUUCCGCAAAAAUAAGUUUUUCAAACUUGUACACCAUAUACCAAAGGGAGAAGAAUGGACCGUCUGGAACUCCAAACCAUCAUAAAGUUUAUCUUGUAUAAAAGGAUCUUGAGCUUCGAAUAGCUAGCCUUUUGACUAUUAAAAGCACUUAAUUUUUUUAAAUACGCGCCAUAAAAGUUUAUUUCUCCUUUUUGUUGAGGUAAAUGAUGACGAUAACCAUUAACUCUUGACAUCUUUUAUAUACAGUAAAAUCUUUAUAAAUUAAUAAGGUUGGGACUAUAUAAAAUUUAUUAAUUAAAAGAGAUAUUAAAUAAUUAAUAAAUUAAUAAUUUAUUAAUUUAUAGAUUUAUUUACAAUUCAAUUAACAUAUAGUAGUUUUAGAGCCCGUUGAGCAAAAGGAAGCACUCAAAGCAUCAACAACACUUCAUAAUUUCUUAUUUUAUUAUAAUUCGAUAAGUCAACCCCAGAGCUUCUAAAUGUAAUAAGAAAAAUAACUGAUGAGAUCCAACUAAAUUUAGAUUUUAAGAAAAAAAGUAAGUAACAAUGGACUCAUAUUUUAUGUAAUUAAAAUAUCAUAGUCAACUAUAUUUGUAAUUUCAGUAAAUUAUUAAUUUAUGAUUUGAAUAGGACCACAAAGUUAUAUAAAAAUUUGUUAAGAAAAGUAUUAUCUUAUUAUUUUAUUGAAAUUAUUAUUUAGUCCAUUGGCCUAAGUUGGGACUAUGAAAAUUAUGGAGAUCAUUAAUUUAUCGAGUAUUAAUUUAUAGAGAUUCUACUAUAUUAUUAUUUGAACUAGGAUGACUAUAGCUAGGGGUGGGCGCGGUUCGGUUCGGUUCGGUUUUUUACUAUAUUUUUCAUAAUCGUUCGAUUACGAUUAUUUUAAAAUCAUAAUCGCGAUUAAUCAAAUUACCGAAAUAAUCAAAUACUCGAUUAAUUGAAAUAAUUCGGUUCGGUUCGGUUCGAUUAUUUCGAUUAUGGGCCUAUUGGGCCUAUUUUGGGCUUUUUCAAAUUUAAAACCUUAAAUUAAUAAAUCUACAACAAACAUAAAAAAUUAACAAACAAAAAAUCAAAAUAUGUCUCAAACAAUGUUCAAUAACACAUAAAAAAAUUAACACCACAGCAGCAACAAAUCAAAGAGAGAAUCUAGGAUCUGACACAUUCACUUAAAACUACCAAAGGAUAUCCAUUAUCCUCAAACAAUUUGUAUACAAUCUUCCAAAAGAUUACUCUUUGAUCACGCAUAACAAAUAACCAUACAAAAAUUUUUAUAUUAAAAUAAGCAAAUUUAAUACUAAAAAAUCUUGCCGCAUGCUGUUGUCUAAUGUUGCCCAUUUAUGAAAGCAAUAAAUUUCUUGUGAAAAUAUUAUAGAUUAUUUCCAGCAAUCACAGAAUCUAAAAGCUUGAGCUUGUGCUUAAUUAAACGUCUGACAAGGUUAUUUAAAUUUCUACUCACCUAUAUUUUAACUAUUUUUAUUAUUCUCAGGUUCUAUGGUUUUCAAUUUCAAACUCAAUAUUAGUCAAAGGAACAACGCUAAUUAAAAAGAUUAAAUUAAAUCAAGCAAUGCAUUAGCAAUCUGUAAAUUGAUUACUUAAGGUUAAGGAUCAACUUCUCAAAAUUAAUGCCCAGAAAAUAACUUAUUUUUAAAAGUUCAAAACAAACCCACUUAUUAUUAUUAUUAUUAUUAUUAUUAUUAUUGGGAAGCAAUACAGAUUAGCUCCAGCAAAAUCGAUCCUGAAGAAGAGAUAACACAUUUGCUGCACGUCCUAUCUUUACAUGUGUGUACCCGCAAUAAUUAAUGAUUUGACUAAUAAGUUUGAUAUUAUAUAUAUAUAUAUAUAUAUAUAUAUAUAUAUGCACAACUUGACUUUGAUGCCAUUUUAAGAACUACUAUAGCAAGAUAAACGCUUAAGCAAACACUCACAAGCAGCAGCGGCUACCAGCAGCGACAAACAGCAGCGACAGCAGCAGCGGCUGCAGCAGCGAGGCAGCGGCUGCAGCAGCGAGGCAGCGACGACCAGCGGCAGCAGCAGCGAGCCAGCUACGACCAGCGGCAGCAGCAGCGAGCCAGCGACGAGCAGCGGCAGCAGCGAGCCAGCGACGAGCAGUGAGCCAGCGAUGAGCAGCGGCAGCAGCAGCGAGCCAGCGACGAGCAGCGGCAGCAACAGCGACGUGUUCAGGGGCUGAAGGUCACGAGUUCGGCUGAAUUAGAGAUUUAGAGUCACUUUACUCACUUUAGGUUUUGGACUUUUGGGAAUCCGGAUUUUAUUUGUGUUCGGUUCGUCGGUUCGGUUUUUCGGUUUUUUUUUUUAAACCGAAAACCGAACCGAUUGAUUUUACUAUUUUUUCGGUACUACUAUUUCGGUUUUUUGGAUAUAAAAAAACCGCAAAAAAACCGAACCGAACCGAACGGUUCGGUUCGAUUUUUGAUUAAUCAACUUUUUUUGCCCACCCCUAACUAUAGCUGAGCCACACAAUGUGGGUUAAUUUUGCUCAUGCAUAGAUACUUCUAGCGGCGGUGAAGAAUUCAAUGAAGAGUUAAGUUUAGAUAGUAAUAUAAUUUAAAAAUAUUCAGUAAAUAACAAGUAUCAAAAUUUUAAUUCAUUAAAAUAUUUUAAUUCAAUACAUAUACAACUAUCAUUUGUUUUCAUAGUUCCAUAGGACAUGACCUUAAUUCUUUCAUCUCAUAAAAAUCUCCAAAAAAAUUGAAAAAAUGACAUUUUAACCUUUAAGAUUUGGAAAAAUAAUCAUAUACACCCUCAAGUUCUAAAAAAGGAAUACCAAAACUGCUUUUUUACUAUAACACCCUUUGGAUAUAAUAACUAAAAAAAUUAACUUUAAAAUUUUCAAUAAAUAUAAAAAUAAUAUAAAUAAUGUAAUAUGUCUAGUAGACCAAUAAAAUUCAUAUUUUUAAUAUUUAAAUAAAUUUAAAUAUGCAAAUUAUUAUAUCUAUUUUAAUAAUAUAUUUGUAUUUAUUUUAGAGAAUUUAAAUAAAUAUUUGGGCUAAAUACAUUUUACAAUUAAAAAAAUCUCACAUACUAAUAAUGUUAAAAUUAUUAUUUUACAUAAUAUUUAAAAUAAUUUAAAUUUUAAUACAUUUAUUUUAAUAUUAUGUUUCUAUUAAUUAUAAAAUUUACUUUAAUAUAAUUAAAAUAUGUCUAAUGGAUUGUAAUAUAUUAAAACGUAUUUAAAUAUUGAAAUUAUUUUAAAAUGUAUAUAUUAUUACAUUUAUUUUAAUAUUAUAUUUCUAUUUAUUAUAAACUAUUGGAGUCAACUUUUUUAAUUAAUAGAUUUAAAAGGUAUUAUAGUUAAAAGAGGAUUUUAGCGUCUUUUUUAAAAAAUGUUGGAGUCUUUGUGACAUUUUUGCACACUUUGAGAUGUAGAUGUUAUUUUUCCAAAAAAAUUAAAAAAAUGAUAACCAAUCGAGAACUGUUUACCUAAAUAACUAGAGCACCCUUAAGCAAAUCAAUGUGAAUUAGACUUUAGAACCUUUAAACACUUACCUGCUUUUUAGCGAAAGAGAAGAUUGAAGAGUCAUAAAACUCCUGGUUUUCUAGAGAGAGUGAAAAAUUAAAAAUUAGAAAAGAAGAAAGUCAAACAUUUACUAAUUGACAUUUUUGAUAUUAUGGAAAUUUAUGAGGAGCGUUUAUGAUAAAUCAAAUCAAUAAUGGGACAAAUGUCAAAAUGGGCUUAAAAUUUUUCUUAAAAGGUCCGUUGUUGGGCACAAAGUGGCACCAUCGUUGGUGAUUCAAAUUUGACUCACAUGAAUGAUAAAUUAGUAUUUGUUGAAUUGCUCAAAAAUAAUAAUAAAUAGAAAAAGGGAAAUAAAUUUUAACACAACAAUUUACAAUUUAGUUUUAUCUCCUGAAAAAUUAUUUUUCUUUAUUGUUUUUAAUUUAUAAACAAAAUAAAGAAACAAUUUCAACUGAGAUCAAACAGUUCUAACAUGCGUCAUAGUAGAUGAACUCUCCUAAAUCCUAAUAUUUGUGAACAACGGUGUGAGAUUCAUGUGACACGUCUCUCUAAAUAUUUUAGCACUAUAAAUUAAUUAUUUAUUUUAUGUGUAUAUAUCACAAUUUUAUACGAUGAGUAUUAUUAAUAUGUAAAUAAGUAAUAAAUUAGUUUGAUUUAUUGAAAAAAAAAUGAUUUGUCAAGAGAUUUAAUGACGCACGCCUUUCCAGUUAUUUUAGUUUUAAGAAAAUGUUAAUUCAUGCAUAUUACGUAUAGGCUAUAAACUAUUAUUUGGCAUAAAAAUUCAAAAUGAAGACUACUUACUCUAGCAAAUUAGUUAAGUAACAUACUCGAUUGUGCAAUUUAAAACGUUCAAUUGUUUAUUUUAAGUCAAAUAAUUGAUAUUGCAUCUUUGCUUGACCACUGACCCUUUGGGGUUGUCCGUGGUGAUGUUCAAAGGAACUUCCGUGGAGUACACUCGUUACGGGUCUGUUUGGCAGGUGCAAUAGAUCAUAUUUUGGGACUCAUAAAAUUUUUUUAUUUUAAAAUAACAUAAAAUUAUAUUAUUUAAUUUAUGGAGUUCAUUGAAGCACUCGUUAGACUUGUCAAAUGAUAUACUAUUAGUAGUAUGCACAUCAUUUUAACAGGUUGAAGUAGUGCGCCUGUUCCACAUAAGUUUUUCUCAUAAGAUAAUAUAUUAGGAUCAGGAGGGUCAUAAACAAUCCACAUCCAUUGUUUAUUAAUCAAUAACAAAACAUUUUUAAAGGUGAUUUUGUUGGGAGAAUUUGUGCCUCCCGGUUCCCGGUUCGAGCAGAGAUUUCUAAUUUGAGUUGUAGUACAGGCUUCAAGGUGUCUCCCACAGUUGGGGCCCUCCCCAAGAUACCUCGUGGUUAAGACAAAAAAAAACAAAAUAUUUUUAAAGGAUUGGAUUAACUCCUAGAGUAAAAGUAAGAGGUCAUGGUUCAAGUCCAACGAAAAUAUUUUACUUCGACGAUGGGGAGGGGUCAAAUAUAAUAAUAAUAAAAUCACUUUAGUUUUAUGAGAUUUCAUUAAACAAAAUCGUUUAUUUUUUUUAAAUUGGAUUAGGAUUGUUUUUAUUUUAAGUUCUCUGAGUUUUUAAACAUUUUAUAUUAUGAAUUUUUUAAUAAUAGAAUAUGGAUAAGAGUUAAUUUUUUUUUUUAAUUAACAUCAAUUAGUACACGAACUUUUGCUCAAGAAAAGUUCAAAGCAGUAUUGAUUGACCGUUCAAGAAGCUUCGUUGGAAACUUUUUUUGUUUUCUUUUGAGGUUGCUCUGUUGUACAACUUAGAAGACUAGAAGCUCUGAUUUAACAAAAAAAUUAGUGGUUUUUAUACUAUAAAGAUGAAAUUUAAGAUGGUUAUUAACUUUUAUUCUAUUUAAGAUGGGUAUAGCCUUUGAUUUUAUUCAUUAUAUUUUUAAUCUUCGUAGAGGAAUAAUUAGUUUGUAUUUCGGUAAAAGAUGCAAAAUGUUAGUAAGCGGAUUCAAAAAAUGGAAAUAUAUUUGCUCAAUAAAACCAUAAAAUGAUUUUUAAACCAGAAAAUGAACUUAAUAUUUCAAAAUUAGGCUUCGAAAACAUAUUAAUUUAACCAGAAGAUGAAAGAGAAAAUGGAGCGUGCAGCUGAAUUUACUUACAGGACGUCAACUUUUGACUGACUAAUUCAUCGGUGACAAAUAAACAUCGAUAUUUACUAGCUAGCGAUGCAAGAAUGUGAGUUGUUAUUUGUAUCUUCCCGAAAUUUUCAACAGAAUAUUCCAAUAAUUUACUGUUGCUUUUUUAGCUUUGCGAUAUUUCUGAACACGUACUAGAGAUUAUUGAUAUGUCUUAUUUCAUGCAGUAACUUAAUUUGCUCGUAGAUACGUCUUAAUUAAAUGACGAACCAAAAAUGCACGGCUACUUUGCGUCACGUUGCUCAUUGAUUUGUCUUAUUUAUGCAGCGAACUUUGAGGCAAUUAAUAAUGAUCACGUAUUUAUUGAAGUUUGAUAAUGAUCUUAUAUGUCAAAUAUUGAAAUAAAUCUUGGUGGACUCUUUCAGACUUGGCUUACUUAAAUUUGGCAACUGUUCUUUCACUUGCGAAACCAUGCAGCCCUUUAUUCCCUUCAUGCCUAGUUGUGAAUGAUUGGCCAAUUUGCUUGCCGCCAAUUAAAAUUCAAAUAAUGGGUCGAUCAAAGUGACCAAACAAGACAGAUAUAAAUCAUAUUUAUCUUGGAGUUUUAUGUGUUUUGAGAAACUUCGUCUAAUAGCACUAUAACAAUUGCGGCCAUGACAAUGGCUAAACGUGUGCAUGACCUCGCACACCAUUAAUAAUUUCUACGUAAGUUGGUGAUCAAUCAAUGUGUACAUGUAUACAUGAUAUGUCAUGCCCGAAAUCUAGACGGGUAUAAGGGUGAUCCUUACAUACAAUUCACGGUUCAAACGUGGCGAAAGCUCUAAAGUAAAUAAACUUAUCAUCUUUAUAUAAUUAAAAUUCAACCCUUGAACGGCGGAAGACUUUAAAUGUUAAAUCAUUUAUGAUUCUUAAAUCAAGUCAUUCUCUUUACUCAUCAUGGAUCAAUCUUAAUUUUUAAGAAAAAAAUUUAUAUACCAAAAUACACAUAUAGAUAUUUAUAUACCAAGCAAAUUUAUAAAAUACCAAAAUCUUUUUAAAACAUCGUAGACAAACUUUUCAAACAUAUAAUCUUUCCAAAUUUAUAAUCAUUUAACAAUUAGAAGCAGACACAAAUUAGGUAAGUAUUUAUAUACUUGAAACUUCAUUAAAACAUUUAAAUAUUUAAACAUAGUUAAUUAGCUCAUGCCUCGUAGUCCUUAACAUAUGAUGUCACGUUAUGCACAAAGUGGGGUGUGGUUUUUCAAAACAUAUAGCAUCAUGUUAGGAAAUAUGUCUUCCUCUUUAAUGAGGAUUUGUAAAUCCUAAAUUAAAAUAUUUUUUAGACUUUUCUUAUUUAGUUGUUUUCUUAUUCAUGAGGAUUCAUAUUUAAAAAAUAAGUAAUUUCCAUUUAAAACUUAGCUUAUUUAAGGAAGAACACAAUUUGUAUGAGAAAAAGAAUACUACUUGUAGAAGAAAUAGUCAUUAUACUUGUCUCAACAAUCAAUUUCUCUACAAGUAGACAAUUUUUAAUAUGAGAGAAACAGUAGUUCUAUUAAGAGAUUGAGUAUUAUUGGGGUUUUGGGUGUAAAGAAUAUAUUAGAGUGAUUGUUCUUAUUUUUUGCAUAGUAUAUUUUUCUCUUCUCGUCCUUGGCAGCCAUAGUUUUUCUCUAAUAUAAGAGUUUUCUCACGUAAAUUCUUAUAUUGUGUAAUUAAUUUUAUUCUCUAUUUAUUUUCUGUUUAUUAUUUGUUUGAUAUUUUUUCUUUCAAGAUAUUGGAACAAAUUAAAAUUUCUAACAAGUUGUAUCAGAGCUAAGCUUGUUUUGAAAAGUAAUUAUGCCAUCAAUAAGAUUUCAAUCUGCAUAUAGAAACAAAAAAGUUUAAUGGAAUAAUCAAUUUUGGCUUGUGGCAUAUUCAAGUCAAGUAUAUAUUAGUUCAAUCUAUGUUACAUAAGGAAAGCAAAAGCAAUGUAAAACUUCGUAGGAACUCGUAGAGGUAUGUGGACAAUUAAGGCACUUUGAAGAAGAUUGUCGAAAUAGAGCAAGUUUGGCAAAUAAAUCUAAAUCAGUAGAUGGAGAUACUGAUAAUAUUAGCUAAUGGUGUAUCUCUUUAGUGCAUAAGAGAUCGGUUUAUCUUUUUUUGGUGUGCCAUGGAAAAGAGUGUGUCAUUGUUAGUGGCUCUAAAAGAUUUGCAUUCAAGGCAUGUGUUUGACAUUUGUGCAAGCUAUAUGAAGUAAUUUUUAUGUUGAUGGUGCUGGAGGCUCUCAAGGAGCCAAACAUGAGAGUGGGUAUUUUUAGAAAUUUAAUCGACAUGUACCGAAUAUGUGUACUUUGGAUAAGAUAGAGUAUGACAAUUAUUGGUGUACAGAAUUACAGCAUCUAGAUAGAGACCAUAAUGGAGUGAUUCUCAUAAGCUCUAUGCGAAUAUGGUUUGGUGCAGUAAAGGAGGUAGAGAUGACAUGGCUAUGGAUACACGGUGGAUCAUGUUUUGUCACCUAAUUGAAAAACUCACUAAGGUGGAGAUUGUAAGGAAAUAUCUCUUAUUUCUUAAUGAGGAUUUGUAAAUCUUAAAUAGGAUAUUUUCUAGGUUUUUCUUAUUUAAUAGUUUUCUUAUUUAAAAGGAUCCUUAUUUGAGGAAUAAGUAAUUUCCUUUUAGAAUUUAGUUUAUUCAAGAAUGAAUAUAAUUUCUAUAAGGAAAUGGAUACUACUUGUAAAAAAAAUAAUCACUAUACAUAAGGAAGUUGUGUCCACUUGUUUACAUAAUACAACAAUCAAUUUAUUUGAAUUAGAUAGUUUCUAAUGUGAGAGAACAGUGGGUCUAUUGAGAGAUUGUGUGUUAUUAAGGUUUUGGGUGUGAGGAAAAUACUUAAAUAAUUAUAAUAAUUUUCUACAUAGUAGAUUUUUCUCCCGUCGUCCUUGGCGACUGGGAUUUUUCUCUAAUACAAAGUUUUUCAUGUAAAUUCUUGUGUUAUAUGAUUAAUACUAUUCUCCAUUUAUCUUUUAUUUAUUAUUUUUUAAAUAUUUUUUCUUACAAAAUCUUGGUCAGAUUAAAAUUCCUUAAGACACUAUAUGUUAACGACUAUAAGGUAUGAGUUAACUAAGUUCAAAUAUUUAAAUGUUUUAGUUAUGAAAUGUUCUUAUGAUGUUUCCAAUAUUUAAAUGCUUGCAUAAUGAUUCAAUCACUUAUAUGUUUUUAACAUUGUACAAUGUUUUAAAUGUUAAAUGGGUAUAAAUUUCAAAAGAUUAUAUGUUACGUUAAAAUCCCCCCCCCCCCCCCCCACUUUGAAGAAGAUUGUCGAAAUAGAGCAAGUUUGGCAAAUAAAUCUAAAUCAGUAGAUGGAGAUACUGAUAAUAUUAGCUAAUGGUGUGUCUCUUUAAUCCAUAAGAGAUCGGUUUAUCUUUUUUUGGUGUGCCAUGGAAAAGAGUGUGUCAUUGUUAAUGGGUCUAUAAGAUUUGCAUUCAAGGCAUGUGUUUGACAUUUGUGCAAGCUAUAUGAAGUAAUUUUUAUGUUGAUGGUGCUGGAGGCUCUCAAGGAGCCAAACAUGAGAGUGGGUAUUUGUAGAAAUUUAAUCGACAUGUACCGAAUAUGUGUACUUUAGAUAAGAUAGAGUAUGACAAUUAUUGGUGUACAAAAUUACAACGUCUGGAUAGAGACCAUAAUGGAGUGAUUAUCAUAAGCUCUAUGCGAAUAUGGUUUUGGUGCAGUAAAGGAGGUAGAGAUGACAUGGCUAUGGAUACACGGUGGAUCAUAUUUUGUCACCUAAUUGAAAAACUCACUAAGGUGGAGAUUGUAAGGAAAUAUCUCUUAUUUCUUGAUGAGGAUUUGUAAAUCUUAAAUAGGAUAUUUUCUAGGUUUUUCUUAUUUAAUAGUUUUCUUAUUUAAAAGGAUCCUUAUUUGAGGAAUAAGUAAUUUCCUUUUAGAAUUUAGUUUAUUCAAGAAUGAAUAUAAUUUCUAUAAGGAAAUGAAUACUACUUGUAAAAAAAAUAAUCACUAUACAUAAGGAAGUUGUGUCCACUUGUGUACAUAAUACAACAAUCAAUUUAUUUGCAAUUAGAUAGUUUAUAAUGUGAGAGAACAGUGGGUCUAUUGAGAGAUUGGGUGUUAUUAGGGUUUUGGGUGUGAGGAAAAUACUAAAAUAAUUAUAAUAAUUUUCUACAUAGUAGAUUUUUCUCCCGUCGUCCUUGGUGACUGUGAUUUUUCUCUGAUACAAAGUUUUUUAUAUAAAUUCUUGUGUUAUAUGAUUAAUAUUAUUCUCCAUCUAUCUUUUAUUUAUUAUUUUUUCUUACAAAAUCAUGGUCAGAUUAUGAUGUUUCCAAUAUUUAAAUGCUUGCAUAAUGAUUCAAUCACUUAUAUGUUUUUAACAUUGUACAAUGUUUUAAAUGUUAAAUGGUUAUAAAUUUCAAAAGAUUAUAUGUUACGUUAAAAUUCACCCCACCAAACCCCCCCACCCCCCCCCCCCCCCCCCCCCCCCCCCCCUCCCCAAAGAAGAAACCAAAGCUGCGCAAGCAUCCAGGCCCGCAUCCACUGACCCAUGAUCUCAGGCUACCAAUGACCCAAGAGAAGGGAACAACUCCCCAUUUUUGGGGACCAUUGAUCGCCGCCAUCACCUCCUGUCCGAAAUACCUUUCGCUGAAUAUAAUCAAUAGAAUUUUUUGGUGACCCGGCACCACUUCUUAAAAGGGAUUGUCAAUAGAGGUAUAAAUUCCCACGGUAAGACUAGGUUAGUUUUCUACGAAAUCAUGGUAUUUCAUAUAUUUGCAUAGUGUAUAAAUAUGUACGCAUGUAUUUUGUUACAUGAAAAACUGAUUUAUUUAUUGAGCUAGUAUUCAUUAUAGUUUAUUACGAUUCUCAGAUAUCAAGAUUGAUUCAUGAUGAGUAAGGAGAAAGACUUGAUUUAAGAAUCAUAAAUGAUUUAACAUUUAAAGUCUUUUUCUAUUUAAGGGUUGAAAUUUUUAUUAUAUAAAGAUGAUGAGUUUAUUAGUUAUAAAGAUGAUAUUAGGGUAUAAUAGGAUAUAUGAUUGAAUUGUUUUGUAAGAAUCACCCUCGAACCCAUCCGAUAUUAGGGUAUAAUAGGAUAUAUGAUGAAUAAUCAUGCUUGUAGCCAAAAAAGUGCAAAUUUAGAAUAAAAACUAUAAGAAUUUUUUUAAUUUUUUUUUGGGCCCUAACGACAAUGUGCUAUUUUUGUGUGGACGUAUCCCUAUUCGUGUAUGAUUAAAAUAAAAUGUAUGGCGCUAUCAGCUCUAAAUAAAUUUGAUUUCCAAAAGUCAGAAGCCGAUAUAUUGCGUCUUUCUCUAAUUUUGUACUUUGAAUUUUCUUGGUCAAAUUGGAAGGAGGCUGGCCGGUGACUUGCACGAUCUUCUUUUCUAUUCUUUCAUUAAUUAAUUCAAAAUUAAAUUAAAAAGAUGAUAGAAAAAUUAAGAUUGAAGGAUCAGAUAGCCAGGUCAUCAACUAUAGUUCCAAUUUCAUGAACUUGCUGCAUUAUAAAUAAUAUCUUAAUGUCUCCUCUUAACAAAACAAAAUAUGGAGAUUAUGAGGCUUACAAUCACAAAACUUUCAUUAUUACUUCCAGUUCUUCUUUUCUUGUCCAUUUCAUGGAGAGCAAGAGCCACUUCAGUUUCUGUGCAUGAAAAUUUUAUUCAAUGUCUUUUAAGCCAUUCUCAGCCUUCCCAUCCAAUCUCUCCAGCUAUUUUUACUCCGCAAAACUCUUCAUUUUCGUCUGUAUUGCAAGCUCAAAUUCGAAACCUUCGCUUCAACUCAACUUCAACACCAAAGCCAUUCCUAAUCAUAACCGCUUUGCAUGAAUCCCAUAUCCAAGCAGCCAUCAUUUGCGCUCGUAAACAUGGCCUGCAAAUGAAAAUCCGAAGCGGCGGCCAUGACUACGAGGGCUUAUCUUAUGUUUCCCAUGUCCCAUUCUUCGUCCUCGACAUGUUCAAUCUUCAUUCUGUUGAUGUCGACAUCGAAACCGAGACUGCUUGGGUUCAGACCGGAGCAACUCUCGGAGAAGUUUACUAUCGGAUUUCCGAAAAAAGUAAAACUCAUGGCUUCCCUGCUGGGGUUUGUCCUACUGUUGGUGUUGGUGGACACAUAGGUGGUGGUGGCUAUGGCAAUAUGAUGAGAAAAUACGGGUUGACAGUUGAUAACAUUGUCGAUGCAAAGCUGGUUGAUGUAAGUGGAAGGCUUUUGGAUAGAAAGUCAAUGGGUGAAGAUCUGUUUUGGGCUAUCAGAGGAGGCGGAGGAGCAAGCUUCGGAGUUGUGCUAGCUUAUAGAAUCAAACUCGUUCGUGUUCCUGAAACUGUCACUGUGUUUCAGGUUCGGAAAACUUUGGAACAGAAUGCUACUGAGAUUGUGUAUCGUUGGCAGCAAGUUGCGUCCAAGCAGCUGCCUGAUGAUCUCUUCGUUAGACUUAUACUCGAUGUCGUAAAUGGCACAAAAUCUGGGACAAAGACUGUCAGGGCUUCGUUUCUUUCAUUGUUUCUUGGAGACUCUAACAGACUUUUGUCUAUAAUGAAUGAGAGCUUCCCUGAACUGGGGUUAGCUCAAUCCGAUUGUAUUGAAACGAGUUGGAUUCGAUCGGUUCUGUUUUGGACUAAUUUCCAAAUUGACGAUCCUUUAAAUAUUUUGCUCAAUCGGACACCUCCAACGCUGACGUUUCUGAAGAGGAAGUCAGAUUAUGUGAAGCAGCCAAUUCCGAAAAAUGGCCUGGAAUUUAUUUGGAAAAGAAUGAUUGAACUAGAGACACCACAGAUGAUUUUCAACCCUUACGGAGGGAAAAUGGCUGAGAUUCCUUCGACGGCGACUCCAUUCCCGCAUAGAGCUGGAAACUUAUGGAAGAUUCAGUAUGUAACAAAUUGGAAUGAGCCAGGGACAGAUGCAGCAAAUCGCUAUCUAAAUUUGACGAGGAAACUUUAUGGUUACAUGACUCCUUUUGUGUCCAAGAAUCCAAGGCAAGCAUUUUUCAACUACAGGGAUAUAGAUUUGGGUAUUAAUCACAAUGGGAAAGCAAGCUUUGAAGAAGCAAAAGCUUAUGGUAUCAAAUAUUUCUUGGGUAAUUUUAACAGGUUGGUGAAAAUCAAGACCAAGGUUGAUCCUGGGAAUUUCUUUCGGAAUGAACAAAGCAUUCCUGUUCUUCCACAUUAGAAUGAAGUUGAAUAUGUACUCAAUUACCAGGAAUUAAAUGUUUCAUUAUUCUAUUUUAUUGCUUGUAAUAAGAUGAAGAAGAAUAAAAAAUUGUUGCUUUUGAAAAUAAAUUAGAUACGCUACGCAUGUAUUGUUAUCUAUCCAGAAUCUAUUCGGCUAUGUGAUAUUUUGUUCACUAAUGUUAUGCUUAUAAAGUUGUUGUAGAAUUUGUUACCUUAAUUGAUGUGGCAUACGACAUGAUGUUAUUGUAAUUUUCUUUUGUGUUAAUUAGAUGGAUCUUGUGUGAAAGCCAUGUGUAUGCCAAAUAAGAAAUUUAUUGUUGUUGUUGUUGUUGUUGUUGUUAUUUUAAGAUUGCCAUGCACCCCACUUCCACUCUCUACCCAAAUUAAAAUUCUCUCUUUAAAUUUGAAUUCUUGAUUACUAAUUUUUAUCGCAAGGUGUCAAAUCAACUUGCGAAUUAUAGUAAGGACAUUUUCAUGUUAAUAAAAUGAGAAUAUUACUAAAUAUAAAAAAAUUAAUUUAUUCAGGUUUAUACAUAUAUUAGAACUUACGCGAGAUCACUAUAUAUAUAUAUAUAUAUAUAUUGAAAUACUAGUUAUGCAACCCAAGAGGGGGGCGAAUUGAGAUUUUAAAACUUAAGCUAAACAAACCACACAACAAUUCAAUUUAUUACCUUAAUGAAAUAAAAAACAAUAAAUUUAAUAAAGCACAAUAAUAAAAGAGUAAGGGAAGAGAGAGCAAACACAAUGAUUUUUAUGUGGUUCGGCAAUCCCGCCUAUAUCCACACUUCCAAGCCAACCAAACUUGAAGAUUUUACUAUCCAACCCUCCCAAGGCUUCAAAUUCUUUACAAUUGACUUCAGAGGUGUCAAUAAACCUUUACAAUCAAGAGAUUAUCUUCCAAUCUCUUUACCCAAUGUUUCUCACACUUAUACACUCACAAAUUUGAUGAGAAAAUAAAGAUUACAAUAAAAACUCUCUUUUAGAGUGGAUAUACAAAUUAUAGCACAAUCAUGAUUCAAUAUAUGAUGAUUUGCGAAAUGGAAGCUCAAUAUAUGUUGUAUGCUUUUUGUUUUUGCUUGCAAAAGUCUCUAAAAAUGAAUUGAAUUUGAGUUUAUAUAGUUUCAGCCCAAAAACUAGUUGUUAUAGACUUUUUUUUGAUAACCAGCUUGUCGUUUUGUGUUAACCGGCUUGCCGUUUUAUGUUACUUUUUUUUUUUAUAAGUAUGUUACCGUUAUAUUCAAAUAUUUGAAUUUUUGCACAUUCGGUUUGCCGCUUUUCAUUUUCUGGUUAGCCGCUUUUAUUCCAGAGAGCUUCUGCUUGAAAACUGAUUUGCUGCUUUGGUAAAUCUGGUUAGCCGCUUGCUACAGUAAAUGGCCUAUUUUCUAAAAUUAUUAUUUUACCCCAAAACUUUAUAAAAUUAUAUUAUCAUCCAAUCUUUAUAAAAACUUUGCAAAUAUGUCCAUUUUUAGAAUUUUAAAACAAUACUUGUUGAUUUCAAAGUUCUCAAAAUUUUUUAAUUUAAACUAUAAACUUGAAAACAACUAAUUUCAUAAAAUAAUUUUCUUGUUAUAAAAACAUAAUGUGUAAUUUUUUAUUUAUCCAAAACAUGCAGUUUGUUAUCAUCAAAAUCAACAUUUUAUAAUCAUAUAGGCUAACACACACACACACACUAUGUGUGUAUUCUGUACAUAUGUACAAUGAUUACAAUGAUUAACAUUACUUUUUAUUGUUUUGUUUCAGAAAGAUACUGAAAAAAGAAAGGUUAUUUAGUUUAUUUACUUUUUAUGAACCUUAGUGUGUGGGAAUUUAUUAAAAAAAAAAGAUGAAAAGUAGCCACAUUUUGUAGACUUAUUCUUAUUAAUUAGAAGUGAGUCUAAUUGUUAUGGAAAAACUCUAGAGUAUAUGAGAGAUAUUGCACUUAAUAAAUGCAUAUAUACCACAUGUAGUUUAAUUAAAUAUAACUAUUAAUUACAUGGUGAUAUGUCAAAAUAAAUGAACACAUAACAUACAUACAUUAGUUGGGUUAAUAAUCAAAUUAGGAUUCAAUCUUGAACUUAUUUUUUACAAAACAAAGAAUCAAAUGUUUAUUUUUUUUAUUUUUUUUUCUCUUACCUAAUAACCAUUUAUUCUUUUCUCUAUAAAAACUUAGUUUAGCACUCGAUCUUGUAAUCUUCCAUUCUUAUGACAGUGAACAAUACAAAGAAGCAAAAAGAAGAGUAAUAAUAAACACAGGGUCCGGGUGGGGCUCAACAAGUUUUAUUAAUAGGGAUACUUCCACUUGAUAUUCAAGCGUUCCUCUUCUUCUUCCAAGACGAGAGUGGUGGGAUGCUUUGUUCGUUUCUGAAGAAGUUAUCAGGAUCGACGGAAGUUUUCACAUGAACCAACCUAUCGAAAUUGUGGUUGAAAUAUUUUUUGCCCCAAACACUAGCUUCUUUGUAGCUUGUGUAACCUUCGUUAUUUGUACCUAUGUCAAGGUCCCUGUAAUUGAUAUAUGCUGCCCGAGGAUUCUUAGAAACAUAAGGAGUCAUGUAACUGUACAAUUCUCUGAUCCAAUUAAUGUGCCUUUGAGAUGCGUCAAUUCCGUCCUCUGCCCAUAGCACGAGAUGCCCAAUUUCGUAUAUGUUGCCAGCUCUAUGUGGGAAUGGAAUUGCAGACUUUGAAAUCUCACUCAUUUUGCCACCAUACGGAACAAAAAAGAGUUGAGCUGCUUCCGCCUCUACUUUAGAUAACCUCUCAUAAAUUCCUUCCAACGCAAUUCCAGGCAUCGGUUCCCUCACGUAGUCAGAUUUUGCUUUGAAAGCUCUUCUAUCAGAAUAAUUAGUCCUCUGAAGCAAUAUAUCCAAAGAUUCUCCGCUUUCAAAUCCAUUGAAGAUCAUGAUUGAUUGAAUCCAGCUCGUUUCAUUACAGUCUUCUUUCACCAAACCAAGCUCAGGGAAUCUCUCUUGCAUCAAUGGAAGCAGCUUCUCAACUCCACCAAGAAACAAGGAUUGGAAUAUAGCUUCCAUUGUUCUGUUUCCCUCCGUACCGCUACUCAAACUUCUUAAGAAGACCAUGAUAAAUAAAUCUUCUGGAAGUUUAUGAGCAACGUGUUGCCAUCUGUGAACAAGCUUGGUUGCAAUUUGGUCCCAGGGUCUCCGGACUGUGAAUACGGUCACGGUUGAUGGAACGUCCACAAGCUUUAUUUUCCAUGCAACAAUGACUCCAAAACUAGCUCCUCCGCCACCCCGAAUGGCCCAAAAUAGAUCCUCUCCCAUUGAUUUCCUAUCAAGAAAUCUCCCCUGAACAUCGAUCAUACGAGCAUCAACUAUGUUAUCAGCAGCAAGGCCAUAUUUACGCAACAAUAUGCCCCAGCCUCCGCCACUAAUAUGUCCACCAGUUCCUACAGAAGGGCAAGAUCCAGCGGGAAAAGCAAGAUUUGGGCUUUUCUCAGCAAUUCUGUAGUAAAGUUGGCCAAGGGUGGCACCAACUUGAACCCAUGCUGUCUUGUUUUCUACAUCAAUGCUAAUUGAGCUGAGAUUUAUCAUGUCAAUGAUGACAAACGGGGAAUUAUAAGAAGUACGAAAAGAUAGACCUUCGUAGUCGUGACCGCCACUUCGAACUCUAAUUUGCAUGCCGUAUUUCUGGGAACAUUUAAUGGCUGCUUGAAUAUGAGAUACGUGAAUUGGCGUGAUAAUGACCAGAGGCUUUGGGGUGGCCGGCGUUGAGAACCUGAGGUUUUGUAAAGUAAGUUCCAGGACAGAUGAAUAUGAAGAGUUGUAUUGGGUGUAGAUCACUUUAGAAAUGGAAGUGGAGUUCUCAGAAUGUAGAGAAAGGCAUUGAAGGAAACUCUCAUGAGUAUCAGCCGCAGCAGCUAUCAAUUGAAACGAUAGUAGAAGAGCAAGAGUAGAUGGGACAAUCAUAGUGCUUUGAGGCUUCAUUUCUCUGUUGAUGUUCAAUAAGGUGCAGAGGUGCAAGAAAAUUAAUCGCUUAUAUACACCGAUGCAGAGGAUAUUUAACAAUAAAAAAAACAUCUUUAGUAAACUGCGAAUUCUUACACGGUAUCUAGCGUCUGGAGGGAAUUCAAGCAUCUAGAUUGUAUCAGUCAAUAAAUUAAUGAGGUAAAUUAAUUUCUUAAAAGGUUCGUUUGCCUUGUCAAAGACAUUGGGCUCUAUUUUAAUUAACUUUGACCAAUUUUGUGUUACAUUUAAUUACUUCUCGAGUUCUUGAUAUUAUCCCUAUCGGACUGAAGAUAAACAAUUUUAAGAAUUUUGUUAUGAUAUAAGCUUUUUUUUUUUUAGUGAAAUACACUUGGGUAAUUAGUAAUUAGUAGAUGAAAAAUAAAAAUAUUGAACUCUCAAUCAUGCAAUAUCAAUCAUAUGUGACAUCAAAUUUAGUAAAGUUUAAAAGAGCUCAAAUUUAGGGUCCGUCCUAAUUCAUGAUUGGAAAUUAAAAACGUGAAAGAGGAGUGUUGCAUCAACUUGAUUGACGUACAUAAGAGGAAGGCAUGUAAUACACAAUUUUUGAAACAUAUAAUGUAUAUAAGAUCAAAGCGUGUAUUAUAUAAACAAUAGCUAACUAACUACAUCCGAAGAAAGGUCACAGCGUGUAAACCAGAGUUGUCAUGUUGGAUGGCUAGGGAUGUUAUUGGAGAUUAAUUUCUAACUGCGUUAUCAACGAAAUCAUAUUACUAUCGAGUCUAUUAGCAAAGCAUUUAUUCAAUAAUGUCGUUCCCUCUAGAAGAAUUUUCAAUUAAGUAAUUUUGACUGAUGACUUAUUAUUAUUAUAUCCAAUCACGUUUAUACCGUAUUCUUAUCACAGAGAAACCUGGCUUUCUGAUUUAUUUAUUAUUAUUUUCUGUUUUUCUUCUAAGAUGAAUUUUUUAUGCUGACUAUAUUAAGCUUCAAGUUGAAUUUUCUGUAGGUGCAGUCAUCGGUCAGAGUUUUCUUUCCCAUGCAGGUACCCAACUUCUCAUCAUAAUACUGCAAAGCUUUCUAAGUGACCAAGUUUCCCAUAAGUAAUUGAAACAUUCGAAAAGAUCAAAUGAGACUAGCAUAUAUUACAUGCGUGUAGUUUAUGUAGGAUGAAUCUAUAUCUGGUAAAUAGUCAUCGGUUUUCUGCAGUGGUUACUAAAAAUGUUCAGGGAGGUAAAAUUAUUUAAAUAAUAAUAAUGUUGAUGCGAGAUUCCGGUUCUCCUCGUUCUACGACCAGGAUCUCUGCUCGAUCAACUUUACCACGACCAGGAGGUCUCCUAGUAAUGCUUCUUCUCCAGAUGUCCCUGCACACACAGACAAGUCAGAGUACGCCGGUUGUUCUCCCGGCGCAAACCCUCCGACGCUCAAGUCAGAUAUGAAGGUUCGGGGAACGCUUGCCACAGGUCUUAUGGCUUUUUCGUGGUUUUCUCUUUUAUCUUAAAAAUGCUAACCCUUUUACCUUCGUUGGCUAUCUUUUUAUAGGCUUCUCCGAAUCCCCGUUUUCCGCUUUUUGCCAGACGGUACGGGACUCUGACUGCUGCGUCAUGGGCGAAGGUGGGAUCUUGCGUGUUACGCCACGGUUCUGGGGAAAGCGUGGCUGUCGUGAUUCUGUGAGAUCUUGCGUGUAAUGGGACUCUGACUGCUGCGUUAUGGGAAAACGUGGGAUCUUGCGUGUUACGCCACGGUUCUGGGGAAAGCGUGGCUGUCGUGCCUAGAUUCUCGGGCUGGAGAGCAUGUCUUGCCAACUGCCAUCGACCGGGUCUCCUCGCUUCUCGACCUCUAGCCGGAAUGAUCUUAUGCCUCUUACAGGAAAUUGACCUCGCGGAUGACGUGCUCGUGGACGAGCAGGAUAUUUCUGCUCCUGUUCCCCCGCGCAUCAGGCUUUUACGGAACACACCGGCUCGAGGAACUCUGCCCCCAGAUAUCUGCUCACCAUGCCUGGUCUCGUCGACGUAUUUCUCCUAAACACCGGUCCCCCAGUUUCUGGUGUUGGGUAAUGUAGUGGACCAGCAGUAGAAACUCGAUAGUACUCGCUCACGUGGGACUGGAAAAUGCUGCCAAGAGUCAUGUCGCAUUUAAUUGCGGACGGGGUGACGUGGCGGAAAUCCCCCCCUCCAUUUGAAUUUCAAACCGACGGUUAUGAGGCCCUCGGGAUUCGGCGCUGUUAAAUGCUGGCAACCCAAGAGUCCGUCCCCAUUAGAAAAACCAAAUCCUCUCGAACGGCAUAUUCAUCAUCCACUCCGUCUCCGUCUCUGUCUCUCCGGCAAAGAAGUUCCGGCAUAAAAGUCCUCCAUCUCUGAUUUUCACCGACUGAACCAUUACUUCAGGUAUUUCUUCUAUCUCCUUGGCCUCGGAUAGUUGUAGAUAAUUUCUCUUUUCUUCUGUUUGGGUAGUAGUUGGUGGUAUUGUGGUUAGAGCUUAGGGAAUGUCGAAAGGCAAAGAGAAGGUCAUUGAGGUUGACGACGACGAGUUGGACUUCCUGCCUAGUCUGCUCACCGACCCUGCUUUUGACCCCGGGAUUCCCUUAGAGCCCACUAGGUCUAGUGUCGGGACUAGUGCUAGGAGGAUGUCUCCCCAAACAACCUCUACGAGCGGAAGUAGUGGUGAGGAGAGAUCUUCUGACUCUGAGGAUACGUUGAGUGAGAAUGGUGAAGGUGAUUCUGGUGAGGUGUCUCCAUCUAGAACAUCACGACCAGGAGAACGGGGUACAGUAGGAGGCAGAGCCUUGUCGCGCGAUUAUGCCAUUGAUUACAUGACGUGCACGACCUCGUUUGACGAGCUCAAGGACCUCCGGCUUAGGUAUAGCAUUCCUGGUGAGAUACCUCUCAAGGUCCCAGGAAAGAAGGAUGCUCCCAGCCGGCCUCCUAGGGGAUACGUUACCCUGUUUUUAGAGAACUUUAAGUACGGGCUGAGGUGUCCCUUGCAACCCUACUUUGCCCGGAUACUUAACGGGCUAAACCUAGCUCCUGGUCAGCUGAAUCCCAAUGGGUGGAGAGUGCUCUCUGGUCUGUUCAUAUUGUGGGACAGAUGUUGCCAGAGCGAGCCCACGGUUGAUGAGGUGAGACACCUGUACCAGCUAAAGAGCAGCCCCAAAGAUGCCGGCUGGUACUACUUCCAAUCUAGCACCAAGAGCAGGAAACCUAUAACCGACCUCCCCACUGGUGGUGGUGGGAAUUGGAAGAGAAAGUUCUUUUUUGCUGGGGGUCCUUGGGGUCAGGUUGCACAAAUGGACGGGAAGGAUUAUCGGGUCCCACCCCGUUUCACGGUCCCAGGUUGCCUGCUUGCUUUUAGAUGUCUUGUAUCCAUAAGUGUUCUUGCUUUAUUGGCUUGUCUCUAACCAAGUGUCUGUUUGUGUUGUAGUUUCUUGGGGUGUUCAUUUCCCGCUCCCACCCGACCAGCUCAAACGGGUCGAGGCCGUGCUCGCCAAUUCCUGCUCGAGCCGGGAACUGUUAACUACGUACAACUUGCUCGAGUCUCGCUUGAUACUUCCUGGCCAUAGGAUGGAGGACGCUGUGAUUGGGGCUCUGACCCGAAAACGUUCUCGACCCCCAACCACGAAGAGGGACCAGAGUAAGGAUGCCCCUGCGGCAAAGCGGGCCAACAUCGUGCAGCAGGUCCCACCCUUGAAGAUUUUACCUCCUGCUCCCGUAAAAAUUGGGGAAGCUGGUGGAGCUGCCACAGAUCCUGCUUCCUCUCCUCCUCCUGUCGGGCCCCGAUCUCACUUACCUGACAGCCGAGCAGAACAUCUGGUCCCCUACUUCAAUGAGUUAACUAAACUCGUGAGCAGGAAGGAUCUGGAGGACUUUGACGGCCGCACCUUGGGUGAGUUGGUGGGGGCCAUGCAGCAUAGCGCUUUCCACCUCAGCUGCAUGACCACCUAUUACAAGGCUAAGGUUGGCCGCUAUGACCGGAAGAUGAAGGAGGAUAUUCAAUCGGCGACGACCAGAGCUGAUGUUGCCGAGAAGAAAGCAGGGGAGCUGAAUCUCGAGAAUCUGAAGCUGAUGGAGCAAGAAUCACUUGCUCAAGCAAAAGCCAUCGCCCUCGAGGAGGAGCUUAUCAAGGUCAGGGAGGAUCUGCGAAGGCAGAAGGCAAUGUAUGAGGCUCAGCUCGAAUCUCUUCGCGACUCCCACCGAGCUCAGGUCGAGAACUUGGAGAGGGAGGCCGACAACCAGUACGACCAGGGACUUCGGCAUUCCUAUCGUUGCAUCAUGGCCGUCCUCGGGAAGCAACACCCUGAUCUGAAGAUGGGUGACCUUGCGGCUGGUGUUGCUCAACAUAUGGACGAGGAGGCGGCCAAGGAGGAUGCCAAAGGGGUAGAGCCGAUCGUGAUAGAGGAGGAAAGCUCUCCUCCUCAUGUAGUCCCUGCUGAUGUUGGCGAGGCGAGCACCCACCCCGAUGCCUCUAGUGAUACCCCUCCUGCACCUGAGGAGGUCCAGCCAACCGAUGCUGCUGGGCUCACUGAUCCACCAUCUUCUUGAUAUAUUUCUUGUAUUGUAAUGACAAUGUUUAUGAAGAUUAUUCCCUCUGUUAAUUAUUAACAAAUUAAUAAAAAUGUUUUUGAUCACCUUCUUGUGUCGUAAUUACGAAUUAAUUUUCGUUUGAGAAUCUGCUUGUCUUUGUCUAGACGAGCAGGUUCCGGCUUGGCUCAUGGUUUUGCCACAUGCCUUUGAAAAUUUUUCAAUGCUUGGGAUUCGGUUUGCCUUCGCGCAGUUGAGCAGAUCCUGGCACGCUUGGCUUCUGUCUCGCCAUAAGAUAGGCUUUGAGACUUGACGAGCCUUUGCAUGCCUUGGAUUCUUCAAAGCUCAGGAUUCUGCUGCCUUCUCAUGGCCGAGCAGAUCUUGGCAUGCUUGGCUUCUGUCUCGCCAUAAGACAGGCUUUGAGACUUGACGAGCCUUUGCAUGCCUUGGAUUCUUCAAGGGUUGGGAUUCUGCUGCCUUCUCGUGGCCGAGCAGAUCCUGGCAUGCUUGGCUUCUGUCUCGCCAUAAGACAGGCUUUGAGACUUGACGAGCCUUUGCAUGCCUUGGAUUCUUCAAGGGUUGGGAUUCUGCUGCCUUCUCGUGGCCGAGCAGAUCCUGGCAUGCUUUGCUUCGGUCUCGCCAUAAGACAGGCUUUGAGACUUGACGAGCCUUUGCAUGCCUUGGAUUCUUCAAAGCUCAGGAUUCUGCUGCCUUCUCAUGGCCGAGCAGAUCCUGGCAUGCUUGGCUUCUGUCUCGCCAUAAGACAGGCUUUGAGACUUGACGAGCCUUUGCAUGCCUUGGAUUCUUCAAGGGUUGGGAUUCUGCUGCCUUCUCGUGGCCGAGUAGAUCCUGGCAUGCUUUGCUUCGGUCUCGCCAUAAGACAGGCUUUGAGACUUGACGAGCCUUUGCAUGCCUUGGAUUCUUCAAAGCUCAGGAUUCUGCUGCCUUCUCAUGGCCUAGCAGAUCCUGGCAUGCUUGGCUUCUGUCUCGCCAUAAGACAGGCUUUGAGACUUGACGAGCCUUUGCAUGCCUUGGAUUCUUCAAGGGUUGGGAUUCUGCUGCCUUCUCGUGGCCGAGCAGAUCCUGGCAUGCUUGGCUUCUGUCUCGCGAUAAGACAGGCUUUGAGACUUGACGAGCCUUUGCAUGCCUUGGAUUCUUCAAGGGUUGGGAUUCUGCUGCCUUCUCGUGGCCGAGCAGAUCCUGGCAUGCUUGGCUUCUGUCUCGCCAUAAGACAGGUUUUGAGACUUGACGAGCCUUUGCAUGCCUUGGAUUCUUCAAGGGUUGGGAUUCUGCUGCCUUCUCGUGGCCGAGCAGAUCCUGGCAUGCUUGGCUUCUGUCUCGCCAUAAGACAGGCUUUGAGACUUGACGAGCCUUUGCAUGCCUUGGAUUCUUCAAAGCUCAGGAUUCUGCUGCCUUCUCAUGGCCGAGCAGAUCCUGGCAUGCUUGGCUUCUGUCUCGCCAUAAGACAGGCUUUGAGACUUGACGAGCCUUUGCAUACCUUGGAUAAUUUCUUGGUUUCAAGCGUAAAAUUGCUUCAUUAAUGGCAGGAUUCGACUUACAUAAAAUUGUUUGGGACAUAAAGCGUAAAAGAUAAACGAUAAUGAGCAUGAGCAGAAGUAGCUCUCAAAUGUGAACAAAUCUUACUGGAAGUACCUUCGGAGGUGUGCUGCGUUCCAUGGGCGUUUCACCUCGUGGCCGUCCGCGCGAACCAGCCUGUAAGCUCCGGUUCCCGCUAUCUGCUUGACUCUAUAUGGCCCUUCCCAAUUCGGUCCCAGCACUCCUUGAGUCGAAUCUUUGGUGCUCUGAUUCACUCUUCUCAGUACCCAGUCUCCGACCCUGAAUUGCCGUAUGUUCACCUUCUGGUUAUAAUACCGAGCAACCCUCUGUUGGUAAGUGACUGAUCGCUCGGCUGCUUGCUCCCUCUUUUCCGUCAGCAGAUCAAGAUUCAAACAUAUCUGCUCGUCGUUCUCCUGCUCAUUGAAAUGAUUUGUCCGGUGUGUGGUUGUUCCUAUCUCAGCCGGCACGACUGCUUCGUGUCUGAAAGCCAAAGCGAACGGUGUCUCCCCCGUUGCGGUUUUGUGGGUUGUUCUGUAUGCCCAUAGCACACCUGACAGCUCGUCAACCCACGCACCCUUUUUUGCACCAAGCCUGGUUUUCAGAAGCCUCUUGAUGGUCUUGUUGGCUGCUUCUACUUGUCCAUUCGAUUGAGGGUGAGCAGGCGAGCAAUACUUCAGCUCUAUCCCAAGGUUCUGGCAGAAAUCCCUGAAGCUGUGAUUAUCGAACUGCCUGCCAUUAUCCGUUACCAAGGCAUAAGGGAUCCCGUAUCGACAGACCAGGUUUCUCCACACGAAGUCUGUUGUUUUCUUCUCCGUGAUCCUGCUAAGGGCUUCCACCUCUAUCCACUUCGUGAAGUAAUCUAUAGCAAUUAUUGCAUGUGUUGCUGCUCCUCGUCCUUUUGGCAAUGGGCCGAUCAGAUCAAUUCCCCAUUGAGCAAAUGGCCAAGGGGAGGCCAUAGAGGUGAGCUUCUCUGGUGGUUGGUUGGAGAAAUUUGCAAAACUCUGGCAGCUUGCACAACCCCUGGUCUUCUUUUGCGCAUCUUGGUGCAUUGUCGGCCAGAAAUAUCCCUGCCUUAGGACCUUGUGGGCCAGGGACCUCCCGCCAGAAUGAUUUCCGCAAAUUCCUUCAUGUACUUCUCUCAGCACGUAAUCCGCGUCGUCGUCAUCCAAACACCGAAGGAACGGUAAUGUGUAUCCUCGCCGAUACAGUACCCCAUCGAUCAUCGUGUAUCUCGAGGCCUGAGCUCUAAUCUUCCGAGCUCGCAGCUUAUCUGGUGGUAAUACCCCGUCUCUAAGGUAUGAAACUAUCGGGUCCCUCCACGAGCAUUUUUGUUCUAUCCGCAACACCCCCAAAUUCUGCUCGAUACUUGGGCUGGACUUCACUUCUAGAGGGACCGACUUUGGCAUUUUUGGGUCGGCUACUGCUGCCAUCCUAGCCAAAAUGUCUGCUCGACUAUUCUGCUCCCUGGGGAUUUGUAUCACCUCCACUGCUUCGAACUUCCCCAUCAUCUGCCUGACUAUCUUCAGGUACUCUUCCAUCUUCUCCUCUCUUGGUUGGAAUCUUUCACUGACAUGAUUCGCGACCAGCUGGGAAUCAGUUAUGAUCUUAACUCUGUCUGCUUUCACGGCCCUAGCCAAUUCCAGGCCUGCUAUCAAGGCUUCGUACUCUGCCUGGUUAUUUGUGGCUGAAAAUUCCAACUUUACAGCAUAAGAGAUCUCCUCCCCCUCUGGGCCUUCCAGGACAAUCCCUGCUCCUGAACCCCGCUCCCCUGAUGACCCAUCUACAGACAUCUGCCAUACUUGAGUUUCGUCAUUGCCUAUAACUGCAUCUUGUUGACCUAAGCAUGUUUCGGGCUCUAUGAAUUCAGCUACGAAAUCGGCCAUUGCCUAGGCCUUUAUCGCUGCGCGGGGCUUAUAGUCUAUGUCGAACUCGCUCAGCUCCACAGCCCACUUGACGAGCCGCCCAGGGGCAUCUGGCUUGUGCAGAGUCUGACGCAAUGGCUGGUCUGUUAUUACCGAGAUCGGGAAGGCUUGAAAAUAUGGCCUCAACUUCCGAGCAGCAACCACAAGGGCAAGUGCCCAUUUCUCCAACGGUGGGUACCUGGUCUCAGCGUCGAGCAGGGCCUUGCUGGUGUAGUAUAUCGGAUACUGAACUCCUUCUUCCUCUCUCACCAGAACAGAACUGGCGGCCCGAUCCGAUACCGCCAAAUACAGAUACAACUUGUCCCCAUUCCUCGGUGUGGACAGCAGCGGAGCUUGCUGCAAGUAUUGCUUCAAGUUCCGGAAGGCUUCCUCGCAUUCUGGGGUCCAUUCUGUUUUCUUUCCCCUCCUUAUCACUUGAAAGAAUGGCUGACACUUAUCUGUAGCUUUGGAUAUGAAUCUGCUCAACGCCGCCAACCUCCCCGUGAGGCCCUGCGUCUCCUUCAGGUUACGAGGAGACGUCAUUUGCACAAUCGCCUGGAUUUUCUCGAGAUUUGCUUCAAUCCCCCUAUGGCUCACCAUGAAUCCAAGGAACUUCCCUGACUCGACCCCAAAAGCACACUUCUCCAGAUUGAGCUUCAUCUUAUACUUCCUCAAAAGCUCGAAUGUCAUCCACGUACACCUCCAUGGUUUUCCCGAUCAACGGCUUAAAGACUUUGUUCACCAGCCUUUGAUAGGUGGCCCCAGCAUUCUUGAGACCGAAUGGCAUCACCCUGUAACAGAACAAACCUUGGUUAGUGAUGAAAGUCGUGCUCUCCUCAUCCUGCUCGUACAUGGGGAUCUGGUUGUAUCCCGAGAAUGCGUCCAUGAAGCUAAGCAGACCAUGUCCAGCUGUUGAAUCUACUAGCUGAUCGAUCCUUGGUAAAGGGAAGCUGUCUUUUGGGCACGCCUUGUUGAGGUCUGUGAAAUCCACACACAUCCUCCACUUGCCGUUUGCCUUCUUUACCAACACCACAUUUGAUAUCCACUCUGGGUAACUGACUUCCCGAAUGAACCCUGCUCUCAGGAGCUUCUCCACCUCGUCAUUUACAGCCUCAUACCUCUCCUGGUUGAAGCACCUCCUCUUCUGCCUUACUGCCCGAGCACCUUUCUUUAUUGCCAGCUUAUGACACGCUACCUCAGGGUCAAUCCCUGGCAUGUCUUCAUGUGUCCAGGCAAACACAUCAGCAUGAGCCUGUAAGCAUUUCACCAACUCCUGCUUUUGCUCUCCCUUCAGUCUCGACCCGAUUCUGAUCGUCUUUCCCGGGUUCUCUGGUCCCAUGCUUACCGUUUCCAGAUCCUCUACAGGUUCUUGUCUGCCAGUCUUGUUUUCCACUCGGGUAUCGAGGGAUGUUAUCUGCAUUGCCUCCCUUGCUGCCGAGGAGUAGCAGCUUCUUGCGAUCCUCUGGUCUCCUCGUACCACUCCUACUACCCCAUUCACCCGGUACUUCAGAGCCAGAUAAUGGUUGGACAACACCGCUUUGCUCAUCCUUAAAAAUGGCCGACCUAGGAUCAUCUGGUAAGGACCUUCCUCAUCCACUACGACAAAGUCCAGUAUCAUUGUUCUUUCUGUCGGUGGGCUCCCAAUUGUGAUAGGUAGUUCGACCACGCCCAGAGGAACCAGCUUCCCUCCUUCGAACCCCUUCAAGGAGGUGUUGGUGUAUUCCAACUUUCGGUCGGCUAUUCCCAUCUCUUUCAGGGUUGACUUAAAUAACACAUCAACUAAGCUCCCUGUAUCAACCAGUAUCCGGUCAAACUUCUUGCUAGCGACCGUAGCCUUGAUGACUAAGGCAUCCUCGUGGGGGUAUAGGAUCCCUUCCUCAUCCUCAUCCGUCCACAUGAUUGGCACUUGCCUGACCCUUGCCCGUUUGGCUGCUGGGGUGUUGAGGAGUACCUCUUUACUGGUCAUGGCGUACCUAGCAUAAUUUUUUCUCGAUCUGUUUGAAUCUCCGGCCAACGUUGGGCCCCCCGCUAUCACCCUUACUGCGGGCUGCUCGUGCCUCAAGAUUCUAUCACUCUGCUCCCCUUCAUCUGUUGCGGCCACCAUCGGGAAAGUCCCAUCCAUAAACUCGUCCAGGUACCGAUUUCUCACCAAAUCUUCGACUUGGGUCUUGAGAUCUCUACACUCUGCUGUGGUAUGGCCAUGGGUGCCAUGGAACUUACAAUAACGUCCUCUAUCCCUCCUGUUGGGUAGCUUUGUUAUUGGUGUAGGGAGGUGCAGCAGCCCUCGAUCCUUUAUGGCCUCGUACACCUCAUCCAGGGACAUCUUCAAGGGAGUGUACCGCCCAUAAUCCUGGUGCUGGUCGAUCCGAUGUACUGCUCUUUCUCUGUUUGCCCCGCUCUGAGUUGGGGGCGGUGGGAGUACUUCUGGUCUGCUCGCCCUGCUACCGUGGGAAUGUUGAUGAAGACCACCAGAUGCCAGAUCAUUUCUUGUCCAAGGUUCCCUAGCUGGGGAACGAGGAGGUUGCGCCCUGCUGCGCUGAUACUGUGGUGGCCUCUGAUGAGGCUGGUAAGCAGUGACCCUGCCUCCUGCUCCACUACCGGAGGCCUGGUGGUCCCUCCUCCUGAUCGGCCCGUUCCCUGGUAAUGCUUUCAUCUCUCUCCUCCCCAACCCUUCUAACUGGUCUGUCUUGAUCCGUGCAGCCUUCUCCUCUUCAAUCUCGAUGUCUCUUUUAGCCUGUUCGUAUGCGGCCGCAUACGUUUGAAUAGCUGGGCUUCUCAAAUUGUACCACAGCCUUCCUAUCUUCACCCCUUCUUUCAAUCCCCUUAACGCCUGAGGGUGGUUGAAGGCUCCCAAGUCGAGGACAGCCCGAUGAAACCUCUUGAUGAAUUCCCGAAGGGUUUCUUGCUCCCCCUGUUUCAUGCUUUUCAACUCCAUCGUGUCAUCUUCCGGUGACAUUGCCCCACUGAACUGCUCCGCGAAUUCCUGGCACAUCUGCUCGAAGGUUUUAAUGCUGCCCCGAGGAAGUUUCUUGUACCAUUCUCGUGCACGUCCCUCAAGGGAUAGUGGGAACACCCUGCACCUUUGGGAUUGAGAUAAUCCUUGUACCCCAGUUAUGUCGUUGAAGCGCUCUAUGUGCAUCAGCGGGUCAGUUCUUCCCGCGUAUCUGAGGUCGGGGAGGCGGAAAUCUCUCGGAAUAACUGCCCUCAUGAUCUCUGCUGCGAGCGGUGAUUCUCCGUCCAGCAUUAUCCUCCAACCAGGGGCUCUGUUCCUCCCUUGCAUAUCGUCAAUUAUCUGCGCUAGUCUGCGCACUUCCUCCUCCAGCUGCCCUGCACGACCAGGGUCACGUGCUGCAACUUGAUCCCGCUCUUGCUCUACAUCUUGCAAGUGUUGCCUCAACUCGGUUUCCUCUGCAUUCACCACCCCGUCGUCCGCGUCACAAGUCUGUCUUGCCGGGGACCGCUCUCUUUCUCUAUGAAAUUCUCCCCGUAGAGGUGCGUUACCUCUCUCACCACCAAAUCUCCCUGUGGUUUGACUUCUCCCCGCACUAUCGGGACCUGGUGCCACUCCACCGCCUCUCACCCUUCCCUCUUGAGUUACCCUUCGCUCGCUCCGUAGCUCAUGCAGGAAGGUUGUCAAGGUCUCCAUCUGCUUUUCCAUCCGUUCCAUCCGGUCGAACAUGACUUUUUCCCGUGCUUCACUGACUAUCUCCCUCAGCGUCACGGAAUCGUUAAGCCUCAUAUCACCCCCUUGUGCACUACUUCCUCCUGUCUCCAUUGCUUUUCGCUUACUCCACCCCUCUUCUUGCUAUCAACAGAAGCUUUUUGCUCUGGAUCCCCACAGACGGCGCCAAAAUGUUGAUGCGAGAUUCCGGUUCUCCUCGUUCUACGACCAGGAUCUCUGCUCGAUCAACUUUACCACGACCAGGAGGUCUCCUAGUAAUGCUUCUUCUCCAGAUGUCCCUGCACACACAGACAAGUCAGAGUACGCCGGUUGUUCUCCCGGCGCAAACCCUCCGACGCUCAAGUCAGAUAUGAAGGUUCGGGGAACGCUUGCCACAGGUCUUAUGGCUUUUUCGUGGUUUUCUCUUUUAUCUUAAAAAUGCUAACCCUUUUACCUUCGUUGGCUAUCUUUUUAUAGGCUUCUCCGAAUCCCCGUUUUCCGCUUUAUGCCAGACGGUACGGGACUCUGACUGCUGCGUCAUGGGCGAAGGUGGGAUCUUGCGUGUUACGCCACGGUUCUGGGGAAAGCGUGGCUGUCGUGAUUCUGUGAGAUCUUGCGUGUAAUGGGACUCUGACUGCUGCGUUAUGGGAAAACGUGGGAUCUUGCGUGUUACGCCACGGUUCUGGGGAAAGCGUGGCUGUCGUGCCUAGAUUCUCGGGCUGGAGAGCAUGUCUUGCCAACUGCCGUCGACCGGGUCUCCUCGCUUCUCGAUCUCUAGCCGGAAUGAUCUUAUGCCUCUUACAGGAAAUUGACCUCGCGGAUGACGUGCUCGUGGACGAGCAGGAUAUUUCUGCUCCUGUUCCCCCGCGCAUCAGGCUUUUACGGAACACACCGGCUCGAGGAACUCUGCCCCCAGAUAUCUGCUCACCAUGCCUGGUCUCGUCGACGUAUUUCUCCUAAACAAAUAAUAAUAAUAAGGAGACAAAAUGUUCUGCCUUUUUUUUUUUUUUUAUAACUCAAGAAUAUCCCUUUAAUUAUUAGAUCUUAAUUGAGAUGAUAGACUAGUAACAUUUUGGAAGUAAACGUGUCUGAUAACAUUUAAUUCAUAGUUCAACUGGAAUAUUUGGUGGGGUAACACUUUUUAAUUAUUGGAUGGGCUUUUGAACCAGUCAAAUUGAUUGGGCCCUCAGUUUGUUUUUCACCUUAAUCUUUUGAAAAAUACUUGGUGUAGAAAAAUACAAGAGAAAGACGAGAGAAACAAUGAAGAAAUUGGUAGAGAGAGAAUGAGUGGAUAGAGAGAGAUGGUAAAAUUCUCUCGUUUUUUUUUCGUGCUUCUCUCUCUCUAGCACUACUCUAAUUUUUUUUUAGGCUUCAAACAAAGCCUUCUUUAUAAGUGAAAGUGGGAGCCUUUUUCAGUUUUGGCUUAUGAAUAGUAGCCCUGUUUUCUAUAUUAAUAAAUAUUAAAAACAGGGGUGUAAUCCAAUGCACGGUUAAAAUUGUAAAUGGAAAAAAAAAAAUAGUAAUAAUUCUAGCUAGAAAUUGCUAAUAGCAAAAGAAGGGAAAAAAAUACAAAGACACACUCAAAAAAUUUGAUAUUUGAGUAAAUCAAAACUGAAGUGAAAGAAAAAAAUAAAAAACAAAAGAAAAAUUAAUUUUGUCCACCUCCCUUUAAAUCAACAAAUCUUAUAACCAAUUCAAAUUUAUGGUUUCUCUAAUAUGAUUUUUCAAAAUAAAUGCACAUGUAUUAUAAAAUCAUUUACUUGUUGUAUGGAUGAUAUAGUACCUAUAAUAUAUUCAAAAAUUUAUUGUCAAAUAAAAAUGCUUGUUACUUCUUUGUCAUUGGCAAAUGUGUCACUACAUAACCACUUAUUGAAUUACACUCGAUCAACAUUAUGACAUGAUGCUAUAUAUAUAUAUAUGAGUGCUCUUAGUGCAUUACUCUUUUGAAUUUUUAUCCUCAACUUCUUGCCACUGUGUGUUUUUGUGGCAAUAUAUUCGAGUAAACAAGAGAAAACACCAUCGUUUAGUUGUAUAAUAAUUGUGAACAAGAUAAAAUUCAUUGACUCUGCUGAAACAAUUUAAACGAAUGAAACAAUAAAUGAUUUACUCCAGAAAGCUGGAAUUAAAGGAAUUUAAAACAAACGCGUGAAUACAUGAUUUAAUUUAGUUAAUGUUAACAUGAGAGACUCUUGCUUAAGGAUUAUAAUGUCUAAUCGUCUUUUUGCUUCCUCCAAGACGAAAGUGACGGGAUGCUUUGUUCAUUUCUAAAGAAAUUAUGAGGAUCAACCAUUGUCUUCACAACAACCAACCUGUCAAAAUUAUUCCUGAAAUAUUUUCUGCCCCAAAUGCUAGCUUGUUUAUAGCUAGUGUAGCCUCGUAUUUUAUUUGCUCCAAUAUCAAUAUCCCUGUAAUUUAUAUAUGAAGCACGAGGGUUUUUGGACACAAAUGGAGUCAAGAAACUAUGAAGUUUUCUGAUCCAAUUGAUGCGCCUUUCGGCUGUUUCACUCCCUUCUUCGUACCAAUAUACCACUGGGCUCAUUUUGUAUAUGUUACCAGCUCUAUGAGGGAAAGGAAUUGCUGACUCUGGAAUCUCACUCAUUUUCCCACCAUAUGGAACCAACAUUAUCUCAGCAUUCCCGCCCUCUUUUUCGUUGAACAAUUCGAAUAUUCCUUCAAAUGCAAUUUCAGGCAUAGGCUCUCUUACAUAGUCAGAUUUUGCUUUGUAAAACCUCUUGGUGACAGGACUCCUGUUGAGCAAAACGUCCAAGGAUGCCUCAAUUGGGAAGCGUGCGUGGUGGAGCACAGCUCUAACCCAGCCAGUCUCAGUGCAUUCUUUUUCCACUAAACCAAGUUCAGGGAAACUCUUCUGCAUCAAUGGAAUGACUCCAUCGACUCCUCCAAGAAAUACAGAUUCGAAUGAAGCGAUCACCGUCCUGUUUCCUCCCGUACUUGCAUUCACACUGCUAAGAAAUACCCCAGUGAUUAAAUCUUCAUCAAACUUAUCAGCAACGAACUGCCAUCUGUGGACAAGCCGGGUUAAAUUUUGUUUCAAACUUCGGCGGGAGCUGCAUACUGUGACAGUUGAUGGAACAGUAACCAACUCUACUUUCCAAGCAACGAUGACUCCAAAGCUAGCUCCGCCGCCUCCGCGGAUGGCCCAAAACAGAUCUUCUCCCAUUGAUUUUCUAUCUAGUAAUCUUCCCUUAACGUCGACCAAGUGAGCAUCAACUACAUGAUCAGCAGCAAGACCAUAUUUCCUUAACAAUAUACCAUAUCCUCCGCCGCUAAAAUGUCCACCGACACCCACUGAAGGGCAAACUCCAGCCGGAAAGCCAAGAGUGCCACUCGUGUCAGCGAUCUUGUGGUAAAGUUCGCCAAUGGUUGCUCCUGCUUGAAUCCAUGCUGUUGUCUUCUCUACAUCUAUACUAAUUGACCGGAGAUUUAUUAAAUCUAUGACGACAUAGGGCACAUGGGAUAUAUAAGAAAGGCCCUCAUAAUCAUGACCCCCGCUUCGAACCCUAACUUGCAUUCCAUGCAAUUGGGAACAAAAAAUGACUGAUUGAAUGUGGGAUACUUGCAAUGGUUUGACAAUGACUUGAGGUUUCGGGGUGGCUGCUGUUAAGAACCUUCGGUUUUGUAUGGUGAAAUCCAAGAUGGAUGAAUACGAAGAGUUGUUUUGGGUGUAAAUCACUUUAGAAAUGGAGGUGGUGGAGUUGUCAGAAUUUUGCAAAAGGCAUUGGAGAAAAUUCUCUUGAGCAUCAGCCGAAGCUAUUGAAUGAAGUGACAUUAGAAGAGCAAAAGCAAAUGGGAGGAGUGAAGAGCUUGGAGUAGUCUUCAUUUUUGUUCAAUGUAAUUAGUUUGGUACUUGAAAACCCAAAAGAGACCCCUUAUUUAUACAUAUCUCAUCGACAGGCUGGCCGGCUAACUCUUCUGCGCGUCUGAAGAAAGUUCAAGUACUGGCUUGUCCAUUGCCAUUAAUCUCAACAAGAAAUUAAUGAACGGCAAAAUAAGAUAUCGGAAGAUGUAUUUAGCUUAAUUCUUUGACCGAGUAAAUUUUUCUUCUUAAUAAAUUUUCCGAUUCGUUUUCCUAGACAAUGACUUGUAGUACCAUAUGUUGCCUUGCCAGUUUACGGUAUUUGUCUAAAUCUAUCAUGUAACUUGUAUUAGGUAGUUCAUGACGUUGAUUCUUUCCCUUCGAUUGAUUAUUAUUAUUGUGUCGUAACCAUUAUUCAAUAUUCAUCUAAUUGAAUGUUUGUUUGUUUGCGGUAGCCCAACUUCACAUCAUAACUAUACCGUAUAUGGACAGUUGGCCUUGCGGAUAUUACAAUGAUGAAACUUUGAAUGAGUUGAAACAUUCAACAAAAUUGAAAUUAAAUGACACCGAAGCCAAAGGGGAGAGGAUAAAAUGAAAGUCCUCGAGUAAUUUACAUACGUCAGAAAUGACUAAUUCUCGUUUCUUUGUGCAGGCCAAACUUCAAGAUUAUAAUGCGGCUAGCUACGGAUUUAAUGGCUAACUCUGUUCUUCAAUUGUCAUGCUUCACGUAAUAAGAGGAUAAGCCUGAAAUUCUUGAGCAUUGAACCUGAAAGUUUUCAAUCAAUGAAUACUACCUAAAACCAUAAGCAUGAAACCUUCAACAAAUACCAUCAUGUGUGAACUGAUUGACAUGAAACUCCUUAACAUGGAACCUUCAACAAAUACUAUCAUCUCCUCUGUUUUAUUGAAUUAAACCUUCUCUGUUUUGGUUUUAGCAAUAAAAUAUUUUUUGCAAUCUUUAAACUAAUAUGUUAUACAAUUUGAGUAAUGCAAUAACUCCAUUAUUCACAGAACACAGACAUCAUUUGACAUAACGAUUAACAAGCUGCAAUGGGAAGAUUUUUUUUACUCCUGGAAUGAGUAAGAUUACUCCAAAGAUUGAAAAGAAACCAAACAAGCAGAAAUUUAUUUAUUUUUUAUAUAUUUUUUUAUUUAUCAGAUACUUUACAGUGUCUGAGAAUAAAAAUGUAUGCACCAUUCUUCUUCUACCAUGGCAAGUGUGGCGUCACGCUUUGUUCAUUCUUAAAGAAACUACUAGGAUCUACCAAUGCCUUUAUAUGAACCAACCUGUUAAAAUUAUUCUUGAAGUGUUAAACACCCCAAAUGCUAGCUUGUUUGUAGUUUGUGGUGUAACCUUCGUUAUUCAUACCUAUGUCAAGAUCCUUGUAAUUGAUAUAUGCUUCUCGAGAAUCCUUAGAAACAUAAGGAGUCAGGUAAGAGUACAAUUCUCUGAUCCAAUUAAUGUGCCUUUGAGAAGCUUCAAUUCCUUCCUCUGCCCAUACCACUAAGUGCUCAAUUUGGCAAAUGUUACCAGCUCUAUGUCGAAAUGGAAUUUUGGACUCCGAAAUCUCACUCAUUUUCCCACUAUAAGGAACCAAAAAUAAUUGAGUCGUCUCUCCUUCUUCUUCUUAGAACCUUUCAUAUAUCCCUUCCAAUGCAACUUCGCGAAUAGGUAACCUCACGUAAUCAGAUUCACUUUCAAGAACCCUUCGAGGAUAGUGGUCCUUUCAAGUAACACAUCCCGGGAUUCUCUCUUUUGGAAUCCGGCAAAGCAGAGAACAGACUUAAUCCAGCUCAAUUCUAUACAGUCUUGUUUCACUAAACCAAGCACAUGGAAGCUCUGGUCCAUCAAUGGAAGAAGCCUGUCAACCCCACCAAGAAACAAGCCUGAGAAGAGAGCCUGCAUCGUUCUUUUUCCUUUUGCUGUUGCAUCCACUAGUCUUCUUAAGAAUAUUCUGAGGAUUAAAUCUUCAUCAAGUUUGUCAGCAAUGUAUUGCCAUUUGUUAAGAAUCUUAGUUUCAUUUUGUUUCAGGGUUGGACAGUGAAUACAGUCACCGUUUGCGGAACGGUUACUAGCUUUAUCUUCCAAGCUAUGAUGACCCCAAAGCUAGCACCCCCACCUACCAGGAUGGCCCAAAAUAGAUCUUCUCCCAUUGAUUCCCAAUCUAGAAAUCUACCUUCAACGUCAAUUAAGUGAGCAUCGACAACAUGAUCAGCAGCAAGGCCGUAUUUCCGCAAUAACAAGCCGUAUCCUCUACCGCUAAAAUGUCCAUCAACACCCACGGAAUGGCAAAUUCCAGCUAGAAAAGCUAGAAUUUUGCUUUUCUCAGCAAUUUUAUAGUAGAGUUGGCCUAUGGUUGCACUUGAUUGGACGCAUGCAAUUUCAUUUUCUACAUCAACAUUGAUUGAGCUGAGGUUUAUCAAAUCAAUAAUGAUUAAUGGGACAUUGGAAACAUAUGAUACACCCUCAAAGUAAUGGCCACCACCUCGAACUCUAAUUUCCAAGCCAUGUUUCGGGGAAUAUAUUGUGAUAUAGAAGUUAAUCACUUCUACAACCUUAAGGGAGUUACGACCAGCAAGGGGGAACUUAGAUUUCUAAAAGUUAAGAACAAGGAUCGCUAGGUGGGAAUUAAAGCCCCCUCGAGGUGGGAAAUAAUUUUUAAAUAUAUAUAAUAAUAUUAUAUUUUUAAAUAAAAAUAAUAUAUAAUAAUAUUAUUAAUUCUUCAUGAAUGUAAUAAUAUUAUUUUUAACUAAAUAUAAUAAUAUUAUAUUUAAAUAAGUUUAAUAAUAAUAUUAUUAUUAAUAAAUGUAAUUUAUAAAACAAUAUAGUAAUAUUAUGUACAUAAAUAUGAUAUUAUUUAUUUUAUUUUAUUAAAUGUAAUUAUAUUAAAUUUAAUAAAAUAAUGAUAAAAAAAGGUUCCACAUAGGAGUGGGAAUUCCACUCUCUAUUUUAAAAAAUGAGUGGGACUUAUAGAGUGAAUCUCGCUUCUCUCUUAAAAUAUAUAAGUAAACACUAGAGUAAGAGAAAUACACACCCCUCACCCCACUCCAAUAAAUAAACGAUGUCUCGCUAUUUCAUUUUUAGGUUCUCCCUCUCUUUCCUUUGUUUUUUUCUUAAAUUUCUCACUUAAAUUUAAAUAAAGAUUCUUUCAAAUCUUAUUUCGUGUCGGACUUAAUAAUUGAGAAUAUUUUUCAAUUUUGACUUAUGAACAUAUUGUGUCUAGUUCAGCUUUCCCGUUCUUUUCCAAUAAAUUGAAAAUGAUGAUACUGGAUGUAAACAGAUUCAAGCUUGAAAUUGUAAAUGUAGAAAAAUGGAUUUUAUUAGGAUACUAGAAGUAGAAGGUGCUAAUCCACUCAUUACCCUACCUAAUACCUAUGGCUUGAUUUGCGACUGUGAGCCUUGUGGCACUUAUCCACUGUACUUACGAGAUUGGAAGAUUGGGCUUUGAUGGGCCUACUCUUUCCGAAAUAUCAAGGGUUAUGUUCUGUAUAGUCUAAGAAAUGAAAUUUGAUACUCAUAUUAUCAGUAGUUGAAGACGAAAAAGAGCUUAUUGGUAAGGGUAGUUUUGAAAGUAAAGGAAAUUAAUUAAAAAGUAGAGACUGAUGAGAAAAAUGAAAGCGGGUCAAAAUAUCAUUAGUCGUUUUGUCUUUUGUGCAUUUCAAUGGAUCUCCAAUUCCGUUCAAUUUUGUGUUGAGAUUAAAAUAAUUUGCAGUAAAGCAUUCAGAGUUUUCAUUCUUCCUUCCUUCGAUGGAUUGAAUGAGUUUGUUGUCUUCUGUUCAAUUCAUAUUAUGAUGUUCAGAUAUUUUGACGUUUAAAUUCAUCGUGGACUCUGAUUUCCGGGUGGUGAUUGUAAAUUAUUAUUAUCUUUUCUCGUAGUAUUUCGUUUCUAAAUUUAGACAUAUUAGCAGCUUAAUUGUGAACAACUCUUUCCGAAAGUGAGUUAAACUAUCCAAUGUUCAUAAGAACUUAAUUAAUGAAAGUUCGUAAACAUUAAAUUAGGCUUCUGUUCAGACUCAAGUUCAGACUCAAUUGAAAAAAUAAAGAAAAAAGUCAAAAUGUUAACUGAACUAAACCUAUCUGAAAUUCAUCGCAAGUAAUUAAUAGAUCGGCACAUUCUGCUUAUCACUAAGUUCAGCAUAUUCUUUUACUCAUCCCACAAACCAAGACAAAUUAAUGAUUCUCCUAAUUCUCAUUCCACGAACUAAACCAAGUCAAAUGAUGUUACAUCAAUUUAGGAAUUGUACUGGUUAGGCCCUUAUUAUCAGAUAUAUUAGAAGUACAGAAAUCUGAUUCAAAACUUUGAUCCAAAAUUAAAUAAAGUUUCAGGUCAGACACCCUAAAAAAUAUGUUAACCAAAAAUUCAACUGAAUUAAACCUAUAGUAAUGACUAAGCCAGAGUUUUGCAAAGUCAUAGGCUCUCAUGCUUGGAUGAUUAAAAAUAUAUCAAAAUAACGAUAGAAAAGUCAGAAAGGAAGUUUCGUCGAAAUAUAUAUAUAAAUUCUAAUAUUUGAGUUUUAACUUAAUUUUUAAUUGUUGUGACACUCAUUUAUUAGAUGCUGAAUUUAUAACUUACAAAUUAUUUAUUAAACUAUUCUAUCGUUUAUAAGAUAAAUCACAUUAGUUGCACAUUAGUUGCAAAUAAGUUAGUACUCAAAUAUUAGGAUACCUUACAAAAACAAGCACAAAUAUUAUUUAAAAAGUUAUCCAUGCCAGGAUUAUUCAAUUAAUUCCGAUUGCAACAUCUGAACCGUCAUUAAGUAUAUAAUAACUCCUGUAAGCAAUGAUUUCAUACUACCAUAAAUAAGGUUGUCUUUGUGCACUCUUACGCAGAAAAACAUCGACAAAUUAAAAUGAAGUCUCCUUUCUCUCCCAUCUUCCCAUUUGUUUUUGCUCUUCUUUUAUCAUAUCAUAUUAGGGUUACUUCUGCCGACUUUCAUGCAACUUCAGCACCCGUUGCUGAUCUUGAGAGUUUGAUUCAGUGCCUUUCUAUGCACUCUGAUAACUCCUCCAUUUCUAAAGUGAUUUACACCCAAAUCAAUUCUUCAUAUUCAUCUGUCUUGAAUUUUUCCAUACAAAACUUGAGGUUCUCAACCCCCAAUACCCCAAAACCUCAAGUCAUCGUCACACCAUUAGACGUAUCCCAAGUUCAAGCAGCCAUUAAAUGUUCCAAAAAGCAUGGCUUGCAAAUUAGGGUGCGGAGUGGUGGUCAUGACUUUGAGGGCCUAUCUUAUGUUUCUCAUGUCCCGUUUGUCGUCAUUGAUUUGCUAAAUCUUAGCGAAAUCAGUGUUGAUGCAGCAGAGCAAACAGCUUGGGUUCAAGCCGGCGCCACCCCUGGCCAAAUUUAUUAUAGAAUUGCUGAGAAAAGUAAAAAUCUUGGCUUCCCAGGAGGGCUUUGUCCUACUGUUGGGGUUGGUGGACAUAUUAGUGGCUGAGGGUAUGGUGCCAUGUUGCGUAAAUACGGCCUUGCUGCGGAUAACAUUGUUGAUGCCCGCUUGAUUGACGCCAAUGGUAGAUUGCUUGAUAGAAAAUCGAUGGGAGAAGAUCUUUUUUGGGCCAUUCAAGGGGGUGGCAUUGGAGCUAGCUUCGGAGUGAUCGUUGCAUGGAAAGUAAGGCUGGUCAUAGUUCCAUCAACUGUGACUCGAUUCAGAGUUAGUAGAAGCCUGGAACAAAAUGCUACAAAGAUUGUUCACAAAUGGCAGUACGUUGCAAAAUAAUCUUCAUGAAGAUUUAUUUAUCGAAGUCAUGUUAGCUAGGGCAAAUUCAACAAUGGCGGCUUCAUUUUCAUCGUUGUUUCCAGGUGGGGUUGAUAGGCUCCUUCCAUUGAUGCAGGAGAGCUUUCCUGAGUUAGGUUUGACCAAAGAAGACUGCAUAGAAAUGAGCUGGAUUGAAUCAGCCCACGAUCUUGCUGGAUUCAAUAAGGGAGACCCCUUAGAUUUGUUGCUUGAUAGGAAUUCUAGAACCAACGGGGUUGCUGAGGAUGCUGCAACCAAUGGUUUUUUCAAAUCAAAAUCGGACUAUGUGAAGCCGCCAAUCCCUGAAAAUGCAUUCGAAGGCAUAUACGAUAACUUUUAUGAAGAAGAUGGAGAAACUGCUUUCAUGCUAUUGGUUCCUUAUGGUGGGAAAAUGAGUGAGAUUUCAGAGUCCGAAACUCCGUACCCGCAUAGAGCUGGCAACAUAUACCAAAUCCUGUACACGGUUACUUGGGGAGAAGAUGAAACAUCUCAAUCACAUAUUGAUUGGAUAAGAAGAUUGUACAGUCACAUGACUCCCUAUGUUUCAGAAAAUCCUCGAGAAGCAUAUAUAAAUUAUAGGGAUCUUGACAUCGGAACAAAUAACCGAGGACACACAAGCAUCAAACAAGCUAGCAUUUGGGGCAGCAAAUAUUUCAAGAACAAUUUCAAAAGGUUGGUUCAUGUGAAGACUAUGGUUGAUCCCUAUGAUUUCUUUAAGAAUGAACAAAGCAUUCCACCACUUACGUCUUGGAGGAAGAAAAAUGGCGAUUAAAAUUUGUUCUCGUUAGCAUUUAGUUAUGAAUCAGACAUGAUAAACUAAAAGUGUUCUGGUAUACACGUCACACGUGUAUUGAUAAAUAAAUUUUACUUUUUGUAAUGGUAUAUUCAGCAUAAAUCUAUAUGUUUUAUUAUGAAUAAAUUAUUAUUUUUUUCUCUUAUUAUUUGUAUCUCUGCCAAAAUUAUUAACUAAGAUUAAUGAAUGUAGCAGUAGGAGAUCUCAUGGCAUUUAGGAAAUCUUGGAGGUAACUGGUAAUGAAGCUUAAUAUAUAUAGUGGAUCAUCUGAUAAAUUUUCCUUUUUGCAUUAUGCACGUCUCAUCAACCAACAAAGUAAAAAAACAAAAAAAAAAAUGUAAGAAAAGAAAUCCAACAGGGAGGCAUAUGUGCUCAAUUCGAACUCGAUUUCGAAAGGGGCCCAUAUAUCAAGAUGCUAAAACAACUGAUAGUGUGAGGAGUAAAGGCCGUAAUUGGGGACAUCUAAGCAUUUCUGUAAAUCUUGGGGGCAAUGGAUAUUUAAGCUAACAACUAGAGGGGCAUCUGAUAAUUUCAUCCUUAACGCCACUCUUGAGCAACGGAGUUUUUGGCAAUGCCGUUGAACAAAAAUGUCAUUUCCUGUAUAUGCGUUGUUGAAUUGCCAACUGAUUUGACGCGUUCAAUUGUGGAACAGUUGACUUCCCUGGCACAUGGAAUUGAGUGGCACGUAACUGCUGGAAAAGAAAAAGGAAAUUGAAAGGAAGAGGGAAGUGUUAUCGAGUUUGAUCCCACUAAACAUACUAUUUGGGAAGGGUAAAGAGUCUUAAUUGUGAUUAUAUUUCGAAUUCGAAUUAGUCGGGGCUCAAUACGAUCGCCGGAAAUUGGAUGGUUUAAAAAAAACAAAAAGUAUCUUUAAAGAAAAAUAUCAUCAAAAUGUGACAGAAUUUUAUCCUUUUAUUUAAUCUGAGGAUUUUUUUUUUAAAUAAAGUGAAAUCAUUAAAGUAAAAUCGCACCUGUAUCUUAUAUAAUAAAUUCUAAAAUAAGUGAUGAUAAUAAAUUCAAAAGGACUACAUUAGAAUUAGAUGGUAAAAUAAUAAAAGAUUAAAUAAUUAUCAGCCUACAUUAUGUUAUCUUUGAUUUUUCAAAAAAUCAGUAAAUAUCGAAUAAAGACCAUGCAAGUUUAAGCUUUCUAUUGAAUAGUAUCUGUCACGGUCCACUUUCGAUGCUUAGAGAUGACAAUAAAUAAAUAAAUAAUGGGAUUUUCUUCAUAUGCAAGAUAAGGUUCAAUGCUUCAUCAUGCACUACCAUUGACAUUUGUUCAAUUUUGCAUAAGAUAUCAUCUUUAAUAAUAUAAAUAAGGGAGAAGGUAUUUGAACUCACACUAUAAUACUCAAUAAGUUCAUGUAAUUAAUAAAUUUAUUAUUACACUUUAAAAUUUUCUUUUUUACUCUAUAAACCCACUUAAAUUUCUAAUAUAUCCUAAUAAAUAUUUUUAACUUCUUUUAUGUUUCCUAUAAUAGAUUUCUUAACAAAUCCUCUUUUUUUGCAAUGAAUUUUUCUUUUUCUUAAGUGAACUGUUAUUUUUAUCAUGAAAUGCUGUAUACAAAGACUUGAGGAAGAAUACUUCACAAUUCACAUGUAAUUAAACUAAUUAUAUUUGAAUUAUAUUGAACAAUAUGAUUAAAAAUGAGUUUGUAAUCUUUAGAUCCUUCUGAAUAAAAUUUUUCUGAAUAAAAAUAUUCAAUGGAAAACUCAAAAAGAAACUUCAAAACAACGAAUAUGGGAGAAGUCUAUGUUACAGAUUCUGUAACAUACAUCCCCCAUUCCAUGCACUCCACGUGUCCCCCCAUGUGGAAACAAAGCAAGCAAAUGGCACCCUUGGGGGCUGGCUAACCUGAUCUGUAUGUUACAGAAUCUGUACCGUAGCCAGCUUCACGAAUAUGAUAAAAAGACCAGAGAACAAUUGAGAGAGGAAGUAGAAAAGGUCAAAAAAUAAAUAAACAUUUAUUUAACUUUACUGAGAGAAAAGUUGUAAAGUAUAAAUAUUGGUUAUUUUAGUAAUUUAAGUUUGGAUAUCUUUGUAAUAAAAAUUUUAUUAAAAAACAGGUGUAAAGAAUAUUACGGUGGUUCCUUCUAUAAAUAAAUGGCAUGGACAUGUAUGCACCCAAAGAAAUAAAGCUUCCUAACUCUGCAAUAUUCCCAUUACUUGGCUUUUUCCUAUCAUCAUCAUUUCAUUGGAUAGCUUCAGCAGAUCCUACUCAUCAAUUGUUUUUCAAUGCCUUUCUCUAUAGUCGUCUCUGUUGGUCAUGGUCUUGAUCGAUAAUUUUGACCAAUUCAUGGUCUUGAUCGAUAGUUUCUUAUUUCUGCCUAGAAGGAUCCUCAAUUCCCACUUGGCGAUCCUUGUUCUUGGCUUCAAGGAAUCCACGUUUUCCCCUUGGAGAUCGUAACUCUUUUGAGGUUGUAAAAGUGACAAACUUCCAUAUCAACACAAGCCCUUAGUUUAUGAUAACCCAUUUUGAAAUUCAAAGAUCUCUGAUUAUGAACUACGAAUUAAAUGUUGUGUUUGGGUUAGAUUUUUUUUAUAGUGUCUAGAAAUAUAGUCGAAUCCAAUCUAUUCAGAAUUUAUUACUGUCGAGCUGACCUCAUAAGUACAACCUGGAGUUUAUGUUGGCGGUCUAGUUUACAAGUACGACCUGAGAUUUAUAUGAAUGACCUGAUUUAAGAAUACCACCUUAAGCCUCCACGAGUAACCGGGAAACUCACCAGUCUGAUCUAAAAGUGAAGUAAUUUGACAUUAAAAUUCAUUUGUCUAACCUAAGAAUUAGCUCGACAUGGAAGAUUAUUGGUUAAAAUAACGUGGCCUAAUCUCUAGGAAAGUUGUGUGUCACGAUUUAUUUAAACAGCUUCCAACUGACAACUACUUGCAACUGUUGAAAAAAGUGGGCUUGAAAUAAAGAGGCAACUACCCAUGAUCAGAAGCCUGUUUAAGCUGAAAAUGGCAACAGAGGUAGAUGUUAGAAAAAUCAACCAAAAAUUCUACAAGUCACAUAUCUAAAAGCAUUAACAUUCCAUACAAGAUUUUAACUCCUCCACCGGAAAAAAUCCAUGAUUUUCACUUUUCACGAUUCUUCUUUCUCAUUUUUCUUUGUCUUAUAUACAAUUUCUGACUUAAACAUUGGAGGGUCUACGAUGGAACCCCACCAACGUAUUCUAACUGUAUUUUCUGAUUGGUAGGUAUAUAAAGUUGCGUUCAAACCGAUGUUUGAGCUUGGAUUCGUGCUGUUAUCCCCUAAAGAAAACAAAUUCAGCUGUUGAGGUCGUUUUUUGGCAUCAACAUGCGGCCUCAUCCAAAUUCGAAAUUUAAAAUUAAAAAUCCUAUCUCUUGAGACACAUGCCAUUCCUAGGCUUUUGUUAUCCUUUACUUUCUAACGCUAAGUCUCUAUUUUCUUAUAUUGUCCAGGUACGCUUCUCUCCUUUCACUCCUUCCUUCAUUCAUUUGUUUUACUUACAUCCUCUAUGGAUCCAUUUGAAACUGAGCUUAAUGGAUCGGGUAAAAAUAUCGGUGAUUUAGAUGCAUCAUCAUGAGUCUCACGCCUCAUCCUUCUUCUAUUCCUCUAUUCUUUACUGCCACAAUCAACAUUGCUGAUGAUGACGACCAAAACGCUCCUAUAGAGGGAUUUUCAGCUGCAUGAUUAGAGUCAAAGGCCAUUUUUGUGCAAUCAACAAAUUGAGGAAACACUUUCACAUUCCUGACUUUAAGGAGCUUAGAAUACCUAACCCUAACGAAAAUAUGGCGGGACCUCCCGAGGGUUCUGUAGCAUUAUAUCUUUCUAUGUUUAAAGUGGGAAUUAGGUUAACUUUGCACCAUUUUGUUCGUUCAUUCUUGAAAUCACUCGAUAUUACCCCAACGUUGCUCAACCCUAUAGUUCAUAAGGCUUUUUUCAAUCACUAUGUGCUUUGGAGACGCUCAGGAAUCGUGACUGACUUUUACUUUGAUAAAUUUUAGAGACUGUACUAAAUCAAAUCCGUAACUAAAAGGAGUGGGUGGUACUAUUUACCUAGUUGGGCUCACAUCAAUCCUAUUAUCCCUCAUGAAUUCCUUGGCCAUAUUAAGGGUUGAAAAGAUUCUUAAUUUUUUGCUUCUGGGAACUGGAGCUCUAAUAAACAUAACGAUAAUGGUCUUAUUUAAACUUCUUUUAAAUUCCAAGUUGCUUUUUCAUCUUCGUGAUUUUAGCAUACUAUUUUUCUCAUCUAAUUUUAUUUUUUCACAAUGAUUUGGCGAUCUCCCCCUGUUUUGUUCACGAGAUUGCUUGGCAACAUUGAGGUUGCCCGAGCCAGCAUCUUACAAUUAGAUGUGAUUUACUUGUUUAGCAGGACCUCCUACCAAGAAGUUGGACUUAUCUCUAUUGGUACAUAGAAUAUUGACUUCUUUAUCUUUUUUUCUUUUCGUAUAUAUAUACAGUUGCCACGCUCAGAUAGACAACAAAAAGAGAAAGAGGCCAGUGAAUUUGCCUCAUAGGAGACUUACUCCUCGAAGGUGUAUAGGUAUUCCUCCUCCAACCCAAUCUUAAUCUUCUGAAGAUCCACCGACUCAGCUUACCUUCCAUAAGGCUCCACAAGCUGAAGAGAAAAAGUCAUCUGCUGACUGGCCUAGGAUUUUUUUAGUACACUUCAACUCUGUUGUUUGAAGACCUCAUAAACUGGACUCUUUAACACAACGAGCUCGAACAUAAUUUGGCUAAUCUCUCCUCUUUGAAGAGAGCGUUUUCUCACCAAGAGUGCCUUCGUCUAAGACAAACCGAUCAAGAGGUUUUAUUUACAGUCUUCAUUGGCAAUGCAUAUAAGGUUGGUUUCUAUUAUUCCUCAUUUGAUUUUACUAUCACAUUCCCCUCCACACUUUGUGUUAGUGAAAAUUCUUCUUUGAACAUUCACAGCCUACUAUGAACAUGAUCAAAGUGUACAAAUUGUACCGCGCCUUGAAAAAUGAAUGUUUCAAAACUAUAGGUGAGAAAAACAAAAUGGCAAGCGAAAUCAAUCAACUAAAGUUUGAACCUGCUUCCCUUAAAUCUAUUCACGAGUCUCUCAAAUUGGAGCACAUCAUUAAUAAUAGGGUGAUCAAGAACAAAGAGGAGGAGCCUAACCAUUUAAGGCAACAACUUCAAGAUAGUUAUCAGAGCCAUGAUAAGGCUUACCUCAAUUCGAAAAUAUUGGGGCAUUGUUUUAAGAGUAGGGAUUGUGUUCUUAUUUUUCGGUGCUUUGUUAGUCUUGUAAUCAACUUAUGUAUCCAUUUUCUUAGUGUUCUUGUGAUUUCCCAUCAUCGGUAAAUAUUAAUUUUCUACUAUAUUAUCAAUAAUAAUGUUUCAUUUAUGUCGCUCUUAUCAAUAAUUUUUAAUUUAUAUAAUUAAAAUUAGAAUUAAUAAAAAAAAUUAUGAUUUAUAUAAUCAAUAAUGUUAAUAAUUAUUAUUAAUUUACAAAUAUAAUCAAAUAAAUAUUUUAUUUUUAAAUAUAUUUGUAUUAAUUUUGUAACUAAAGACUAUAAUUUUUUAAAUAAAGGUAAAAUUACAGUUUGAAACUAUUUACUUCCAAUUUAAGAGAAAAUAAAUACAUGAAUUAGAUUUUGAUUCCGAUUCUAUACUCUCAUUUCAGUGUAAGUAAACAACUUACUCUCACUCUCACUUCACACUCUCAGUCUUAGGAUUCACACUCCUCAAGAUUUAUACUUCAAUUUAAAAUGUAAACUCUACCUCAGUGUUGUUUAAUUAAUGUUUCAAGAAAAGAAUCCCAAGUCAUCAGUGCCUUCACUCAAAGACAAAAAUGAUUUUGAUGCUCUUAGAUUACAUAUAAUGAAAUAAUUAAGUCGUUUACCUUAAAAAAGUAAAAUUUUAGAACACAUUAUAAAUGUUAUGUCAAGCAUACAAUAAGUAAAUAAUACUCUGAUAUGUAUGUAUUUAUUUUUAAAAAUUAUUAUACAUGUGGUGGUUAUUAAAUUUAAGUACACAUAUUAUAUAUGCGUCAAUUGAUUGUAUUGCCUUUAUCGUAUUCUCGAUGUGCUUUAUGAUUCCUCAUCAAAACGGAUUCUUUUUGUUUGGAUCAAUUAAUUUAAAGUAACCACCAUAUAAAUUCACGCAGAAACAAAAAGUCAAUAAAUUCAUUCAGAAACUUUAUAUAUAGUAAGAUUUUUUAAUAAACAAAAAGUUAAUGUCAUAUCAAUGAUAUUACUAACUUGUUGAUAUCAAAUGAUAACGUAGUAUGAAAUUGCUAACAAAAAUGUUACAACCCCUUCAAUAUAAAACCCCAUUUUUUUUCUUUAAUAAGAUUUAAAAAAAAUAAAAUUACAUAAAACUAAAAAUACAAAAUUAAUUAAACCCCAAUUCAUUUAUUUUCAUUUUGAUGUAAUUUCUUCACAGUUCACACCCACACAUUCAUAAAUUCCUCAUUUCCAGUAUCUAAUACAUAUUGGAUUCAAUUAUUUUUUUUUCAGUUCCAAAAUGAUUUUCAAGUAAUUAAGAAAAAAAUUGUAAGUAGUUUAUCAAAUCUUUAUUUAAAAAAAAAUAAAACAAACAAAAUGGGUGAAUAUUUCUUUUACCGAAAAAUAUAAUAAGAAACUAAGGGCAAAAUAACAAAAAUCCAUAAAAGUAAUUGAUUGUGUUUGAAGAAUUAGUAACAACAAAAAAUUAUAUUCGAUUUUAAUUAAAUUUAUUUGAUCUUUUAUGUAAGUUUUAACUAAGAAGAGCUAUCAACAUCAAAAUGGGUUUUCGAAUGAGUUUUGGAAGUGCCAAUAGCAACACUCAUGUGACAAGUACAGUGCCUUGUUUUACCAAAAUCACUCUAUAAUAAGAUAAGAUAUUACAAUUUCGUUUUUCCCGAGAACUUUACUCGUGAAUCCCAACGAGAUAUCUCCCAUAAUAAAAAAUAAUGCAAUCUUCUUGAUCCCAACGAGUUAUUUCCUUCGUGAAAAAUACCGCCCAGAAAUUUAGUAAAAUAGACAUGUGCCACCCUAAAGUGUCUUAUAAAAUUAUAGAUAGUGUUUAGUGAAUAUGACAAAUACCCCCAUAAGGGAAGAAACUAACUACAACUAUAACACUUCUUUCAUGAUAAUAAUGGAAGAAAAAGAAGAAACUCACUAUUUAUUCAUAGUAAAACAGAUGAUAUUUAUCAGACUAUGCAAGGGGAUUCAUGUUGCAAAUUAAUCAUCACAAACGAUUUUAUUUACCAAUUCGUACACAUGUAUCCCUUAUCAUUUUUGUUUCAUUAUGUCUAUUCAUACACAAAAAAAAGACCACUAUUUUUCAUCAUUUUCCUUUUUCUUCCUCCCAGACGUAAGUCGGCAUAGUGAGAGAUAACUUUAUUAAAAAGAAAUCAAUUGAAAUAAAUAAUACACCAUUUCACGGGACGUAAUUAGCCCCACAUUUUAGAAAAAAAAAUAACAGAAAAAAAAAUAAAAAUCUAAAGACGUCGACCCAGAGAAAAAACGAAGAAGACAUAAAAAAGAAGUUGAAUGCUCAUUGAAAACUGUAGCUGCUGGGGAAUCCAUUAGAAUCUUCUGUAAGGAGUGGAGUGGUCUCAGAACAAGUAGACUCAGGACAGCUAAUGCGUAAGUUAUCUAUAAGAGGUGGAAUGCUUUGUUCAUUUCUAAAGAAAUCAUUAGGAUCAACCAUAGUCUUCACAUGAACCAACCUUUUGAAAUUGUUCUUGAAAUAUUUGUUGCCCCAAACGCUAGCUUGUUCAACGCUUGUGUAUCCUUGGUUAUUUGUUCCGACGUCAAGAUCCCUGUAAUUGAUAUAUGCUCCUCGAGGAUUUUUUGAGACAUAGGGUGUCAUGUAACUGUAUAAUCUUCUUAACCAAUCAAUAUGUCUUUGAGAUGCUCCAUCUUCUCCCCAAAAAACUCCGUAAAAUAUUUGGUAUAUGUUGCCAGCUCUAUGUGGGUACGGAGUUUCAGACUCCGAAAUCUCACUCAUUUUCCCACCAUAAGGAACCAAUACCAUGAAAGCUAUUUGUCCCUCUUCUUCAUAAAACUUAUCAUAUAUUCCUUCGAAUGCAUUUACAGGGAUUGGCUCCUUCACAUAGUCUGCUUUCCCUUUAAAAAAAGCUUUUGUUGUACCACUCACAACAACCCCAUUGGAUUGAGAAUCCCUAUCAAGCAACAAAUCCAAGGAUUGUCCCUUUUCAAAUCCAGCAAGAUUCUGGACUGAUUCAAUCCAGCUCAUUUCUGUGCAGUCUUCUUUUGUCAAACCAAGCUCAGGGAAGCUCUCCUGCAUCAUUGGAAGGAGCCUAUCAACCCCACCGAGAAACACCGAUGAAAAUAUAGCCACCAUCAUUGAAUUCACCCUGGAUAAAGUGACUUCGAUAAAUAAAUCUUCAUGAAACUUAUGUGCAACGUACUGCCAUUUGUGAACAAUCUCUGUUGCAUUUUGAUCCAAGCUUCUUGUUACUAGGAAUCGAGUCACAGUUGAUGGAACUGUGACUAGCCUUACUUUCCAUGCGACGAUCACGCCAAAGCUAGCUCCUCCACCACCUCGAAUGGCCCAAAAUAGAUCUUCUCCCAUUGAUUUUCUAUCAAGAAAUCUACCUUUGGCGUCAAUCAAGUGUGCGUCAACGAUGUUAUCGGCAGCAAGGCCAAAUUUACGCAACAUGACCCCAUAUCCUCCACCACUAAUAUGUCCACCAGCCCCAACAGUAGGGCAAAGUCCGGCUGGAAAGCCAAGAUUUUUACUUUUCUCAGCAAUUCUGUAAUAAAGUUGGCCAAGGGUGGCGCCUGCUUGAACCCAAGCUGUUUGCUCCUCUGCAUCAACACUGAUUUCACUAAGAUUUAGCAAAUCAAUGAUGACGAACGGGACCUCAGAAACAAAAGAUAGACCCUCAAAGUCAUGGCCACCACUUCGAAUCCUAACCUCCAAGCCAUGCUUUUGAGAACAUUUAAUGGCUGCUUGAACUUGGGAUACGUCUGAUGGCGUGACAAUGACUUGAGGUUUGGGGGUGUUGGGUGUUGAGAACCUGAAGUUUUGUAUGGAAAGAUUCAAGACGGAUGAAUAAGAAGAAUGGCUUUUUGUGUAAAUCACUUCGGAAAUGGAGGAGGCGUUAUCAGAGUGCAUAGAAAGGCAAUCAAGAAAUAAAUUAUCAUCGUAAUGAUCAUCAAGCACUGAAGAAGUUGCAUGAAUGUUGGCAAAAGUAACCCAGCAAUCAUACGAUAAAAGAAGAAUAAAAGCAAAUGGGAUGAUAGAAGUGCAAGAAGACUUCAUUUCUGUUGAUGUUUUGGUGCAUAAGAGUGAAUGAGACCCCCCCUAUUUAUAUUGUACACUCCAAAAGCUUAAACUACCUCGUUCAACACGAAAGGUCAAUGAUAUUGAUAAUCAAGCACAUCAAAGUUUACUACGGAAGUUAAUUAGCAAUUUCCCAAUGUCACAGCAAACCAUCGGCUGCCCAAACCGACUUUGAAGUUUGAUUUGACCAUUAAACCACGUGUACCCUUGAAAUUACAUUUUUGUUCAACAACAAAAAUGAUGCCAAAGACCCCGUUACACAUAGGAUGGCGUUAAGGAGAAAAUUAUCAGAUGACCUUCUACUUUUUAGCUUAAAUACCUAUUACCCGUAUGUUUUUUAGAAAUGCUUAAAUAUCCCCUGCUUUUUUCACAUUUGUUCCUUAUGAGUUGUUCAGCAUCUUGAGUUGUUUCAGCAUUUUGACUAACGGCCUCUUUUGAAUUUGAAUUCAAGCUGAGCCCAUUUUUUCACCCCCACUGCCCGUUGGUACUCAUUUGUUAUUAUUAUUAUUUUUUAAAAAAUACUAAAAAUCCAAAUAUUUAUAUUUUAAUUCAUUUAUAGCCAUGUAUAAUAGCACUUUUACUUUCAUAAAAUUCAUCAUCAAAUCAAUAAUUGACACGUGUCAUUAGAUCCAAAUAUCUAGACAUCUAACUAGUUUUUUUUUUUUUAUCUGCUGCUUUAAAAUUGAAGAAAAAACCAUAAAUUUGGGAUGUUAACCAAUUCGAAGCCCCUCAAUUGCCAAUGAAAAUAUAAAUGUUCGGUGUCCGUUCAAGUUAAAUUUUAUGCCGUUUGGGCUUUGCUUAAUAGUAAAAGUAUCAACGAUGGUUAUUGCCCUAUUGGUUAAGCUCCCUAACGCUGGAGUAAUGUACUGUGUUAAGGAAAAAUAUGAACCCACUGUUAUUUAGCUUAAUUACCAAUUACCUCCUAGGUCUCCUGAAAUGCCAAGAGAUCUCCAUCUGUUACAUUUAUUCCCUUAAUUCUUUUGGCGUCUUGGCAUAUUUGCCCUCGUUGAAUUUGAACGAAUUGGACCUUAUUUUUUGGUCAUGUUCUAUCGAACGCGAUUGGACCCAACUCAGCCUGAUUUCCCUCCUCCUUGAUUAGAGAAAACGGUAGGUUUCUAAAAAUGGACCCAUUUGGUAUUGUUUUUGAAUUUAUAUUUUCUGAAAAUAAAAAUGAGAAUGAAAAUAGUAUUUUAUAGUUGUUGUAUUUUGAAUUUAAGUAUGCGUCUGGUAUGAUUUUCUGUAUCCUGUAUUUUAAAAUUGAAAACAAUAAUAUGCAUUUGGUAGACACAAUUGAGAGGAUAAAAACAGUGAAUAUGUGUUCGGUAACAUCAUUUUCAAAAAUAAUUUUUACUAAAUAUUUAAGUCAUAUUUAUGAAUAAAAAGUAAUUGUUUAACUAAUACAUACACAACCAUUCCAUAAAUAGUUUAAACAAAAUAAUGAUAAAAAAUUACAUGAUAAUAAAAUUUGAGUAUCAUCAUAAAUUAAAAAAAUGGAUUUAUGAAAAGGAUGGUAACAGCUCAACACGUCUUUGAUUUUGAUUCCUUUCGCCUUCCUUCUGCGGUCUACCCCCAGUCCCCACAGAAAAUAUUUUUGCUCUUUCCCCCAAAAAAAAAUAUAUAUAUUAUUUAUGAUUUUUAAUAAACCAAUCUCCAAGCCAACGAAAUAGACACACGCAGCACGUUGUAUGAUAACAUCUCAAUCAAACAAGGCUUCCGAGAAUUAAAGUUUUGAUCGGUCUUCUUUUACCCCCACUAAAAGCACGAGGUUAAAUAAAAAUAAGGCAAUGUUGUUGGAUCAGUCCCCUGUCGAAUCUCUCACUCCACUUACUUGUUUUAAACUUUAUUUAAUUUAACAACCACCAAAUGAAAAAAGGCAAUUGUAAAUUCGUGAUUCCGUUAAACCCAGAAGCAUCCACUGUGGAGUAGCAGCAGCACCAGUCGAGACAGAGCAGAGACGCAGCACCACCAGCCGAGACGGAGCAUAGACGCAUCAGUAGCAGCAUCACCAGUUAUUCCUCAAGAGAGACGCAACAGCAGCAGCAGCACUAGUUGAUCCUUAAAAGAGAAGCCGUAGCAGCACCACUACCACCAAUCGAGAGAAGCUGGGACACGGCAACAGUCGAUUCUGGUUGAAGAACCGUGAUGGAGAAGGAGACAGCUGUGACGAAUCGUGGUUAAAGAACUCUGAGAGAGAGAGAGAUGUGAAUUUCGAUCGGGAUAAGGAGAUUAGGCUUGGGUUUUGUUUUGCAAUUUCUUUUGUGAUAUAAUUCUUUUGUUUUGCAAUUCUUCAAACAAGGUGAAGAAUAUUAGGGAUGGCAAUGGGGAGGGGACCAAUCUCCCCGUACCCAUCUCCAAUAUUUUACGUAUGUCCCCGUCCCCUCCCCGUCCCCGUCAAAAUGAUUUAAGAGAAUCCUC
RNAcentral lists this long non-coding RNA (70718 nucleotides) under Citrus maxima (pomelo). RNAcentral describes it as "long non-coding RNA (CMAX_LNC001051)". The record is from RNAcentral. Lineage: Eukaryota; Viridiplantae; Streptophyta; Magnoliopsida; Sapindales; Rutaceae.